RNAcentral lists this long non-coding RNA (82559 nucleotides) under Brassica napus (rape). Its description in RNAcentral is "long non-coding RNA (BNAP_LNC008498)". The record is from RNAcentral. Lineage: Eukaryota; Viridiplantae; Streptophyta; Magnoliopsida; Brassicales; Brassicaceae.
GUAAUUAUUGUAUUUAUUAACUUAUAUAGCAACUUUCGAAUCUCUUAAAAUUUUAAAUGAAAAUUAAAGAGAAAAAGAUCAGUAAAUCAAGUAAUCUUCACCCAGUUAAUCAAGUGAUAUUGUUGAAGGCAAUUAUAUAAAUUCCAAGUAUAUACAUUUUCCUAGCAAAUCUGAAUUUGUUUUUCCAACCCAAAGUGACAAUAAAAUGCGAAAAUAGAAGAUGAAAUCUAAAGAGAGGCUGCUGGUUAAGCUUAAAUCGCAGGAGCUCCGACCGGAUUGAUAUUUCUGCAACGGACAUAGCUCAGAAACUGGCCGGGAAGUUCUUCUAGAAGUGCUUGCACCACCGACACUUGUCCACCUGCACCCACCAAACUCAAUUCAACACAUACGACGACAAACAACAUGCAAAUCAUUACGUAAGCAUAUGAAUAAAUCAAAAUUACUCACUGUGGACUUCUUUCAUAGGAACGAACUGAACAAUGUCCCUUGUAGCCACCCGACCGGUAGAACUCUCUAACCGACGACCUUUAUCAGCAUCAAGAAUCUGAAACGUAUCACACAAGGCAACGUCAUAUUUCAGUAGAACAUCAAACCAUAGAACAAAGAUAAAAGUUUUUAACUAAAUAAAACAAACAAAUCUACCUCCAUUUGUGUGAAGUCUGUGUUUCCCACACCAACGAUAAGGACUGACAAAGGUAGAUCAGAAGCUCUCACCAAUGCAUCUAUUGUACCAGCCAUGUCUGUCAAGACUCCAUCCUGUUUCAAGCAACCAAUCAUUUUUGAUACGAUCCAAAAGUUUUUAUCUCAAAGUAAUCAUGUAAAAAUGUUUUCAGGCUCUUACCGUAAUGAUUAGGAGAACAAAGUACUUGGGACUGUUUUGUGAGAGUGACUGUGAAGCGGUGUGAGCAGCCUUGUCGACCACGUGGCUGAACAGAGUUGGUCCCGCUAGAGCAACAUUUGCAAGGGCACUUGAAUAAGCUGACAUGAUUCCUUCAACUCCAACCACCUGUGAUGGAAUAAAAAAUACAAAGCUCAGUGACAUUUUUACAAUAUAGUUUCGAGAAUGCAAUUUAUUAGCAGCAUUCCCUUCUUAUCAAUUUUGUAAUAAUAAACACCAUCCCGAAUAUAAUUAGUUCUUGUCUCGUAAGUUACCUCAUCGCCAUAUGAAGCUCCAUUCAAGUUAAAAGCAUGUGACACGUGACCAUCCGCUGUUCUUCCUCCAAAACCCCAAGCGGGAAAACGCCUAUCGGAAUCAUAAAACUGGAUGACCUCUCCUACUUCCAUUAUAGCCUGCGGUGGAUCGAAGAAAUCCCAUAGAGAGAGAGAGAAACAUUAAUGAGAUAUUACUACAUCGAAAGCAGCAACUUGAUGGUCUUAGUACUCAAAUAAACAUAGACUAACAUAAAUGUGGUUCCGAGAAAUUGUACCUUCUGAUAAGAGUUUAAUCUGCCUGAUGGAUCAUUGUAGUGCAAAGAACUUGGAGUACGGGGAUCACCAUUUGAAGCUGUACGACAGAUCUUCAAAUAUUAAAACACAAGGUUUUUCCUAAGAUGAUAAGAACUACAUAUAAAUAAGAAGAAGGUGCAUACCAGUGAAGUCAACUGCAACCAUGAAAUUAAGUUCAAAUCCGCUGGAGAUGUAGUCAAGAAAGCUGUACUGAAUUUUCUCCACAAAACGAUCCACAAUGAGCUGUCCUUUCAGAACCUACAGAAUCACAACAGUUUUUUUUAAGGAAAAUUGAUGUAAAUAACUGCUUUUAAGAUAUUACAUAAAAUGAUACGAGUAACGCACCUUGUUGCGACCGUGACUUGUAGAUGGAUACACAAAGUUUAUAGCCUCUCUUUGUUGACAAAGUCUCUCUAAUUCAGCUACUGAUUUCUCUGUCCUCCUGCAAAGAUCAGUACAUUUGUCAAGUAACAAUAAAUCUCUAUAUGAUGACUCUGUAGAAGAGAAGAAGGUUGAAGCUUACCCAAUAAGCUCAUGAUUCCCACUGGUAUUGAAAUCUAAACACUCGAUAAGCAAUGGGGUAUCCUGCGUAGAUAAAAUUAAAAAAAUUAACAUAAUGAUUAUCCAAAAAAUAUGUCUGAAACACAAUUAAGACUAUUAGCUUACUUUGCUUCCAAAUUGUUGCAUAGUCAAGCAUACAGGCUUCCAAAUUGGGUUGAGGUUGUUGUCAACCACCUCAGUCCGACAUACGGGAACUACUAUACUGUUCUCAACCAACCUUGAGAUUCUUAGAAACGGAUCCUGGAAAGAGGAAAUAAAACAAACUUAGUAUCGUAAUCGAACAAUACAAGCUAGAAUGUUAUAGGUUUGCACUUACACUCUUGGAGAACAAGUCCUUGUUAUCCAAAUUGACAGAGCGAAGAUUCAUCUCGACGACGGUUUUGGAAGCAACGGUCUCUUCGGCUUGGACAGAGAGUGUUCCCAACUUUCUACUCACACCAGCUCCGAAAUCACCGUGAAGGUUUAAUGUCAUGGAACGGUUGGGUUUAGUCAUAACCUGGUGAUGAGAAAAAGAAUAGAAUCAGACAAAAAAAUAUGAAAUGAUGUACACAUAAAGACAGUACCGGAAGUGAAUGACCAAACAACAACAAAACUCCAAUCAUUAAAUUGAUUUACCUCGGAGAGAACACAUGUCGCUUCUCCCAAGUAAUCCUGCUCCUUCAGCUUUAAGGUCUGCAGAGGUUUAAAAUAUGUUGAUACAAUAAUUGAGGUGUAACGUUCAUAAUCAAAAGGCAAUUGAUGAACUCUAUUACCUUCACUGGCACAUUGUGAUAUCUGGUAUCGACAUCAAACACGUGAAAGCUGAAAAGAAAAAAGAUAUAUGUAAGUUGUUAGACUUCCAGUGGUUAAACCAUGUGAGUAAAUGAUCAUACAACAAUUGUUCAGAGUAGCUUACACUAAUGUCUGAACAGUUUCGAACUGGAAAGAGACGGUAAUCUUCUCAAUCCAGUUUGGAUUCAAGCUAUUGAGUAUGACUUCAGUGCGGCCAAUUUCCUCAAGCUUCCCAUCCUUCUUCCUCAAAUACAUGACAGCCAUUGGGUCACUCUACAACAAAGAGAAAUCUCAUGAGAUACAAAAACCACUUCUUAAAUGCUUAAAGAAGCGCAUGGAAACGUGUGGAAACUCCAGUGCAUGGAGAGAGAUUCUGUAUCAAAAAAAAUGAUUAAUAAAUGGUCAGGGAGCAUAUAUACCUUUGAUGUGAUGUCACGGUCAAUCAAGUUUGAAGCCGACAAAGACAACUGCAAAUAGCAUAGUGUUAAAACACAACUCGAAAGGUACCAAAGGAAUGAAUAAUGCACCAUGAAUACGAAGAUGCAAUAAGCAAAAUAUCAUAUCUGCUAGACAAAAUAUACAAGUAAAUGGCAUAUUGCAUCAUUCAUUGCAAAAAACCAUCAAGAAGAGACAACAACAAGAACCAAUCUGAAAGGACAAGGGUGGUGCAGCAAAUUGAUGAUUUUCUUUUUCCUAUUAGAUAUUAAAUGGUUUGCAGACUAGUAAAAGACUUAUUGUGUUCUGUUUCAUUGCAAUUUACCAACAGAGAUCGAAAAAUACACAUACUUAAAAGUCACAGCAGCGUGUGUGUGGGUGGGUACUUUUCUAAGAAAACCAAAUGAUAAGUAACAUGAGUUUCUACGAACAAACAAUAAGCCCAUGUUAUACUCUGCUCCGCAUAAUAAUAUUCUAUAAUCUAACCCCACCACCAUAAGAGAGAGAGACAAGAGUAAAAAACACAACAGAGAAAACACAUGGACAAAGACUAAAGACUCAAGACAAGAAGUCAAUGGUUGGCUCCAUUAUAAAAAUACAAGACAUCAAGUUAGAAUAUCUUAUCCACAAUCCACUACUACUGUAUAAAAAACGAGACCCCUAAAGCAAAAAAAACACAGAUUCAAAGUGAGGAUUUUUUUUCUUUCAAUUUAGCAAUAUUCUAAUCACAAUUAGCAAACUUGGUUUGACUUUGUACAAGAGUGAACAAUUUAUAAAUUACACUAGACAUGAGUAAGAGACAAGACACAAUAAAAAAAACCCCUAAGAGAUUGAUAACGAUACCUCAAUCUGUGAGAAGAGAGGAUAUUGACCACGAGAUCUGAAGAAGAAAUCGACGGCGUCGUUUUGCGCCGCAUUGUUUGUGGUGGUCGACGUGGGCCUCUGCUGGACCCCUCCGAUGGCUUGUUUGCCCCCGGCCACAUCUCCAGUUAAACAGUUCCCCAUUCUCCUUUAGAUGAUGAUUAACCCUAGCAGAUUCGACUUCAAAAUUAACCCUAGAAUCCCAAUUUCAAAAUUCAGCCGAUUAUUAUCUAAUCAAUGCACUUCUUCCUUACUUAUAUAGAGAUGUAUACGUUUUUUGUCCAAAAAAAAAAAGAGAUGUAUACGUUUACGCGUUACAGACUUUAAUAGUGCCAGAUAUUUUAUUCAAUUUAAAAGACGAGUAGAUAAACUCAAGAAAUUAACAACAAAAAGUUUUAAAAAAGAGAGAAAAUUUCAGGAAAUUUACCAAAAAGAAUUUGUUUGGACUUUGUUUUGACUAAGCACGGGCAUUCGGAGUCUCAAUUGGGUUUCGAUUUUAUCCAAUCAGAUCUCGAUUUUUCGGAUUUAUCAAAAUCAGCCGCAUUCGGAUUAUAUGAAAUUUUGGUUCGGGUUCGGUUCGGAUUCUAUCGGAUUCAGAUCUAGGUUACUAAAUCUUCAAAGAACCGGUACAAUCCGAUAUACUUUCGGAUUCAGAGCCCAAUCAGUUCUUCAGUUUAAAUGUACAUGAUUUAUAUCUAUUUUGUAACAAAAACAUAAGUAACAGAGAAAAAGACUAGGAUAACACCAAACCAAGUUUUUGUUCCCAAAGUAGCACUCAAGACUCAAAGUCACAAAAAUAGGUUUCAUUAAAGAGGUAAAUAUACACUUAUACCCUUUGGGUUAAUUAAUCCAAACCUUAGGGUUUAGAGUUAAGGGGUGGGGUUUUGGAAUUAGGGCUUAAAAUUUUAUAAAAAAUAAAUACUAAAAUAAAAGAUAAAAAAAUAUUAAACAAAAAGUAUUUUUAAAUUAUAAAAAGAAAAUUAAAAAAAAAUAAAAAAAAAUUCGAAAAAAAAAAUUUCAAAAAAAAAUUAUAAAAAUUUCGGAUCUGAAAACAUAUAGAAAAAAAGACUAGGAUAUCACCAAACCAAGUUUUUGUUCCCAAAGUAGCACUCAAGGCUCAAAGUCACAAAAAUAGGUUUCAUUAAAGAGGUAAAUAUACACUUAUACCCUUUGGGUUAAUUAAUCCAAACCUUAGGGUUUAGAGUUAAGGGGUGGGGUUUUGGAAUUAAGGUUUAAAAUUUUAUAAAAAAUAAAUACUAAAAUAAAAAAUAAAAAUUUUAAAAACAGUUUCAAAAAGUAUUUUUAAAUUAUAAAAAGAAAAUUUGAAAAAAAAAAAAAAAAAAUUUCGAAAAAAAAAUUUCAAAAAAAAAAUUAUAAAAAUUUUGAAUCUGAAAACAUAUAAUAUGAAACUAUAUAUAUAUAUUUUUUUUUAUUUUUUUAUUUUUUUUUGUUUGUUUAUUUAAUUUUAAACCAAGGGUACUAAGGAUAUUUUACCCUUUAAUGAAUGUCAUUUUUGUGACUUUCUCCUUCUAGUGCUAUUUUUGAGACAUAAACUUCAAAAGGUGCUAUUAUUGACAAUUGCCCAAACAUAUAAUCUGAAACUAUAAAAAAAAAUUCAUUUUUUCAAUUUUUAUUUUAUUUAUUUUUAUUUAUUUUGUUUGUUUAUUUAAUUUUAAUCCAAGUUUAGGGAUAUUUUACCCUUUAAUGAAUGUCAUUUUUGUGACUUUCUCCUUCUAGUGUCAUUUUUGAGACAUAAACUUCAAAAUGUGCUAUUGUUGACAAUUGCCCUAAGUAAAAUCGGUUAUUGGCUCUAAAAUACUUGAUUUGUACCUAUUUUGUAACCAAAACAUAAGUAAAAUUGAUUCGAAAAUAAAAAAAAGGAACAUUCAAACGUGAUCAUUCAAAAUCAAACGAAAAGUAAUAUAGUUAUUGAUAGAAACGAAAAACAUUAUUGAAUGAAAAAAAUCAAAAUCUAAAAAUUUCGAGUUUUAACCGCCACCUUCAACCAUCAACCCUUAUGUAAUAUAUAAUUAUUUUAAAUGUUCGGUAUAUUUUGGAUAUAUAUUAGGAAUUGAGAUCAAAUAUUUGGUACAAAUUAUUUUCUGGGAUUUUGAAUGUUCUGGAUUAUAUCAGAUAUUCAUCUAGGUUCGAAUUCGGUUGGGAUAAUACCCAUAACCUCGAAUAUAAUAAAAUAAGAUCUAUUUGGUAUUUAUGUCAGAUUUGGAUCGGUUCACUUUUUUUUUUUCGGAUCGGGCCAGAGAGGGACUUCCCAGAAAAGGAAACUUUUUUUUAUUGGUAGUUUUUUAAUGGUAGUUGCUAAAAAGGGAAACGCGGAUUCAAUUUCGAGUUGGUCUAUACCAGAAAAGUUGGUCUUCAUAAGAACUCUUAUUUCAUUACGCUACUACGGCUAUAAUUUGAAACGAAAUUGUCAAGAAAUGAACAAUGACUCGCUUGCGUCUACAUGACUCAAUCAUUACGUUUCGUAAUCUAAUCCAGAUAGAUUUUGACAUCGAUCCCGUUAUCAAUAAGAGACUGGACAACAGCUCUGAUCUUCCCUUCGAACUUGUCUUGGUCUCUUGGCGUGUAAGAAGCUGUGUACACAUCAGCCUCUUUCGCGCGUUCGGACAAGAUCCUCCCUAUGGACAUGCACGCUGGGAUAUCGCAUCUCGAUCUCAACACCGCUUUCACGUCUUUUGAGUUCGUCCCCGCGACCGCGACUUGCUUGCACGUGACGCGGUGCGUGAGGGAUGCUGAGACGAAGCGUUUUGAGAUGAAGACGUCGAGCGUGAAGGGCUCCAUGUACGCGACGGUGCGUUGCUUGAAGGAGACGUGUUUGUCUGGGUUUUUCGAUUUUUUCUCCUUUUGGUAUGUGUAGGGUCGGCUUGUGUCGUCGUCCACGUAGUCUUCUACACCAAAGAAGCUUCUCGGAGCAAGAACCGUCUGUCAAAAAAUGGAAAAAAAAAACUUUAAUGGAGACUCAAUAUUAACAAAUAUUCAAAUCACCAGCUGAAACUUAGCGACUAAAUAAAAUUUCAUUAAAAUCCAUUUAGCCAUUAGCCUAAAUUGGUUUAUAUAUUUUGAUUGAUUUAGAAAUCCAUAUAGUAUUUAUAAAUCCAAAUAAAAUAUACAAAUCCGGAGUUUUUCCCUCGGAUUUGAGUCUUUGUAUUUUUAACAGAAAAAUCCAAGCAAAUCCAUUCAAAUCUAUUAUAAAAUCAAAUAUAUUAGUAAAUCCGUGCGAUUGAAUAACACUUGAUUUGAUAUAGAAUUUAUGAAUCAUUAAACCAAUAACACAUGAUUUUAAUACAGAUUUGAAAAUCAUAGAACCAAUAACACUAGAUUUAGUUCGGAUUUUCAAAUCCAUAAAAAUACAACAACCAAUAACCCCUACUAAAUUGCCAAACUAACAAAGACCAACACAGUAACGAGAGGUAGAACAAUGCAGUCAAUUACAUUUAUGAGCUACAUACUCGUUAAAGAACUCAUCUUGCAAACCUUUAUCUAGCAAAACAGCAGUUAAGAAGCUAAAGUGAGUGGUUUAACAUAGGAUUUGACAACAACAUCAACAACAAAUUUGAAAAACAGUUCCAAGCAGAUCUAGUUAUGAGAUAUCAAUCAAACAGGGGUCACUAAGACAAGGCUGUACACAUCUGACUCACUUCAUCUAGUAAUUCUAGUAAAAUAAAACAAACUACUUGCUCAAGUAAGUAAUCAAUCAAAGAGGAAGGAAGGUGGUGUACCCGUCCAUUGUGAAAUCCACAACUGGUUUGGCACAAGAAAGGUCUAAGCUUUGCUCUGUUACUUCCAUAAAUUGCUGAAUACUUGGCAACCACUUGCUUCAACAUUAUAUCUGCAGUGCACACCAACCUACAGAAAGUACAUCAAGUGGUGUUCAGACUCAUAGAAACUAGCUUCUGUCACAAACGUAUGCUUUCCUCUCGUGUUAAAAACAAGCUUCAAUACUAACAUCUUAGCAUCCUGAAGAGUAACAGAGAAGAACUAAGCAAACUUAACUUCUCUCAGAGUUUCAAUACAACAAUUCAAAGAGCACAAAAUUUUAUGUCAUUUCUAAUUUUUUUCCAGCAAGAUAUCAAAUUUACAGCUAUGUAAAUAUGCAAAAUGAUGAAGCAAUCGUAUGAGAUAAUCAUAACAGUUUCUACAGAAAAAUAUUCAAAUUCAACUCAAUUCGGAGAAGAUGAUAUACAAUAACACACACAAAACCAGUAUAAUCGAUCAAAUUACCAACUGAAAUUGAUAGAUGAAAUUAACCUAAGAAGAAGUCACGAACCGGAAAAAAGUAACCGGCGACCUGAAAAGCGAUGGACAGUGCACGACGGUUUGAUUUUGCAGAGGAGACAAGUCGCAACGAAACCUAAAAAUCUGGUUUUCUCUGCUGGUUAAGUAGAUCAAUUGGAACCCGAAUCGAAUCGGCUAAUUAAACCGGAUUUUUUUUCCGGUUUACGCUGAAUAAAGCCACGGGGUUUAAUUUAAUUUUCAGUGGUCCGUUCAGAACCUUCACUUGCCCACUCUCAUCACUGCCUCACUCGCCGUCCCUUGCCGUCGCCGGCGAUAGCCACUCCGUCACCAUUGCUCUCUACUUCUCCAUAUCCGGUUAGUCUCUGGUUUCUAUCGAUUCAUUUCUACACAUUUUUUCACGUAGACUUUGUUCUUAAUUCUCAACUUGCUCUACAAUUUUCAGAGUCUAUGAAGUUCGUUUACGGAAGCUUUUGUUGGGUCUAGGUUUAGGGCUUUCUCUGUCAACGUUUUGUUGUUUGAUUCUCGGAGCUUGAUCGUCAGAAAGGUGUUAACUUUCACUCUCUCUUGUUAUGAGAAAGGUGUUAACUUUCAGAUUAGGAUAAGACUUCACAUUGCAUCAACGAAACUUUAUAUUAUGAGAAGUUAAUCUAAUUGAGAGCUAUUCGCUUUGUCUUUAACAAAAAGUGUCUUUUGGAGUUUUAGGGUGUGAGUAGUAAGCCAUUGGAAAAUGCCGCCGAGGAAGAAGCCAAAGUCUUCAGCUUCGAAAACAAACAAACAAUCUUCAGCCAACCAGUCCUCACAACCUUCAAGCGUUGGCAUCCAGCAGCUCUUCCAAAGACAUAUUCAGAACUCCCAAUCAACUUCCAACUCUCUUGCCUCUAACCCCGUAGUCUCAACGCCUCAAAAUCCUCUGAGCAGGGUCGAUGAGAAGCCUGAUGAGUCCAAAGAUGUGGACCAGGGAGGACUCACGGAGGCGUCUCCUGAGGUCUCCAGAAACGCUAAGCGCUUCAAAUUCUCUCCUGGAAUGGUGUCUUUUUAAUCUUAUAUCUUGUUUCUUGUAGUUUAAUUUGUGAUACUUAACAUGGUUUAUUACUUAGUGGUCGUGUGAUUCUUACUUGCUUCUUUUUAUCUUGAUAGCUGAUAAAGCAAAGUCAAGAUGAUGGUGGCGAAGAGAUAACUUGGAAAAUAUCUCCUAUAGAUCAAAGACUUCGCGCAGCUGCUAAGCAGGUUCCUAAGAUGAUGGACUUGACUGAAAAUUCAGUGGGAUUUAAAUCUUCUACCCUACGCCCAUGCUCUCUGGACAAGGCAUGUUUUUCUUUUUAAUUUCAUCUGUUAUUGACAGAAAAUCCGGUAGCUGUUUCACUUAUUGAAAAUGACAGCAGGUAGUGCAGAAACAGUGUCCUACAUCUGAUAUAACUUCCAAGGUGGAGCAGUGGUUAUCAUCCCCCUCAAAGAAAGCUUUCAAAAGACCAGCUUUGCCAGCAAAUAGGGUCACGGAAAGGGUGAAUCCUUCCCUAGAUGGGGAGUUCGAGAUUGUUAACACUUCUAGUAGUGGAAACAGUCCUUUCCAGACCCCACCGUCACUUUCAUGCUCUCACAACAAGGUGAAUUUCUUUCAUGAUAAACGGAUGAAUGAUGACAUUUUGUCUAUUUUCUAACGUUGCUCUUGUUUAUAUUAGCUUCCUUGUACUGUAACAUGCAGUGCAGCUUGUGGGUCCACGGGCACUGGGCAACAUAAAAAGGUAAUAAUUGAGAAUUGAUGCAGUCUGUGUUUUAAAAGGCGAUCGCCUUUUGCGCCAAGGCGCAAGGCGCACAGUGGCGAUGGUCCUAGCGCCUCAGUCCUCUAAGGCGAGCCCUAGUUCCUCAAGGCGCUCGCCAUGGUGCGCCAUUGGCUUAAAUAUAAGCGCCUUGAACCUCUUAAGGCGCGCCUUGUAGUUUCCGUUAAAACACUACUUUGACGGAACCCUUAAAACAUCUUGGAACUCUAUCACUACUUUCUCGACCAUUUAAAUAUCCUUAAAACAUAAUGCUUAGAUCUUCAGAGUUUUAGGUUUUGUUGGAUUUGAUCAAUUGAAUUUAGUUUUUUAGUUUCAAGUUCUUUGUUUAGGUGUUUUGGGGUUUAUAUAUGUGUACAUAGCUGACUAUAUUAGUGUGCAUGACUAACUUGUUGCUGACUAUAUUAGUGUGUAUAAAUAAGACAAUUUGGUAUAGCUGACUGUACUAGUGUUAUAUACGAGUCUACUCUAUAACUAUCCUCUGUACGUAACCAUAGAAAUAGUUACACGUCUGUAGCUAACACAUACACUUCUAAGUUCUAACCUAAGAACAUCUAUCAAUGCAUAUAUAAGUUCUCUAAAGCUGUAUAUAACUAAACCACGUUUGAAAGCAUUCUAACUAUAAGGCGAGCGCCUUGUAGCGCCAUGGCGCAAGGCGCAUGUACAACCUCCUCGCCUUAGAGCGCCAUGCGCCAUUUAAAACACAGGAUGCAGUCUUUAGAUGUUGGCCAAAGACAGUUUUUAAUAUGUGUUAUAUGUUUUGUCACUUCCAACUGUGGUUGAUCAAGAUUAGAUGCAUUAUAUUGUUUUCUACAGCAUGUCAAUGUAUUAUUUCUACAUGUUACCUCUUUUUGUAGGCCUUGCUUGAACUUCUAGAUCAAGUGGAGGAUGUCAUCUCAGUUGAUGAAAAAACAGCUGAUGAAGUGGGGACUGUGGUUCCCCAAAUUCGACUUGAAGAAGAUAAAAUCUGUUCCGUUGGUGUCUACAACGCCGUAGACGAAAAGCCAAUUGCUCUACUAAAAAAGAAUAAUUCUGCAAAUCCAGAUAGCUAUUUCCUUGUAUUGGAGGUACAGUUGACCUUUAUCAUACUUGGGUUACUUAUGUGGUUUUUAUGUGAAAGUUACUCAUUAUCCCGAGUUGUACUUCAGGUAUCUGAGAAACGUGGCUUCGCUGGCUCAUCUAGGGUUCAGUCUCCUUAUAAGGUUUGCAUAUAUUAAAGGGUUUCUUUCUUGUACAUGCCUAUAUUUGCUGACCAAAUUUCUCUCAGGUUCUUCGCCUGCUAGACGAGCACACUGGAAAAGAAUGCGCUUUAUAUCUCUGGGAUGAAUGGUACUUUACUUUUCUUUGAUCCUUUAUUCAAUGUGCUACACCUUUUUUGGAUGUCUUGGUCUCGAAUGCUCUUGCUCUUUAAGAUUCUAAUUGUGGGCUGGUAACAUGCUACACACUUUUGUUGUUGUCAAUCUUUCUAUUCUUUUGGCGUAUGGGGGAGCUAAAAAAUCAUCUAUUCAAUUCCCAGUUGGCUGAAACCUGGUUAAGUAGCCUAUGUUGCUUCCUGAAUACUUGAGCUUAUUGUUCCCAGGUUUUACAGCACUGUAUCACCAGGAGAUUCAAUCAAUGUUAUCGGAGAUUUUGACGGGGAGGGCAAGUGUGACGUAGACCACCAAAAUAAUUUCUUAAUUGUUCAUCCUGACACCCUUGUUGCUGGAACUAAGGUAACUUUUCCUUUUCACUUUAUGGUCUCUGAUUGCAAAUACCAAUCUUCUGUGCACUUAAUUCUUUUUUUCUGCCUUUGUUGGGAAUAACGGUUUUGUCUUUCAGGUUGCAGCAAGUUUUGGUUGCCCAAGGAGAACCGUGCUGGAUGAGAGGCUAAGAUCCAAUGAACACGCUACAGCUGCCUUGCUUGGAACCUUGCUGCACCAAGUUUUUCAGGUUUACUGCAGUAUGAAAUAUUUGAUGAAAUUAUGUUGGACAAUGAGUAUUUUGUUUUAUUUCUUGCAUUUGUAGUGCAUUGAUCUAUACUGUACAUUUCCUCUUUAACAGGCAGGUCUCACGCAAGAGUCUCCAUCUGCAGAUGGUUUGCAGGAAUACGCGAGCAUAGUGAUUAAGAAUAAUAUUGAGAGCUUAUAUGCAUGUGGAGGUUGGUUACUACAUUACAUGUUCCUACCAUGCAUUUAUUAUAUAGCUAGAAUACCUCUUAUUUGUAUAUUAUAAUUUUGAGUUAGUAUAGCUAGGCUACCUCUUAGUAUAUUGGAAUUUGAAAUUAAUAUGGCUAUAAUACUUCUCGAGUUAUUUUGGAAUCAUUGUGCUUUGAAGAUUCAAUGAAAUGCACUUUAUUCUUUUCUUAUCCGGUCAUAUGUUCUCUACAGUGCAUGAGCGAGGCGUGAAAGCAACCUUACACGAAGCUAUCCCAAAAAUGUUGAAUUGGAUUCAUCACUUCCGAGAUUCGAAGGUGCACCUGUAUUUUCCUAUUGAUGAUUCUUCCUUGAGUUUAUCUUAGAUGUUAUAUUACUGUUUCCUUAGAUGAACAUUAAAAAAUUUGUUACUCUUCUGCUUGGUUAUCCUUCAGAUAUUUUUACAGUUGUCUCGCUUAGGCUCUUACAUGUUUUACUGUGUUAUGCUCUCAUGAUGUGCUGGACUUUUUUCCUUGUGCAUGUGCUAGUAUGAUAAUCACAUAUUUGUGUUAAUGCUACUUUUUAGCUACAUAUAUCUAAUAACAAGUAAACAACCAGACUCGUAGCCACCGUCACUUUUUAUUUAUUUUAGUGUUAGAGUGACAUCUAAUGAAAGUUUUUGCAUGCUUUUCUCUCUCUUAUUUCUUCCCCUUUAAAGUCAUGUUUUCUAAUAACACUAUAGGCAGAAACAUCUUUAACUCAUGGCAUGGUCAUUAUUAACAGGACUCAACAAUAUCAAAUGUUGAUUUUGGGUCUACUAAUGGGCAGCGAAUGGUAAAGAUAUCAGAGGUGAAUAUCUCUUCCUACUCUCUCUCUCCCUUCUUUCUUCUUAGGAUUUCAUAUCUUUCAGGUGAAGAAUAGAACCAAUUUGUUGAUUCAAAUGUUUCUUACUUUGUUGUUCCAAGCGGAUGCAUAAGCCACAUCUUAAAUUUCCAUCAGAACUGGUGUUUAUUCAAAGCACUCUCUUCUUAUGAGAAUUCUGUUAUGUAAAUAAGCUAAUUGUAUUACCUCAGGUAAUUGACAUUGAGGAGAUGUCAUGGGCCCCUAAAUAUGGUCUGAAAGGAAUGGUCGAUGCUUCAGUCAGAGUGAUAGUUGGAUCUGACAUGAACACAGCGAAUGAGAAAAUAAUGCCUCUUGAGUUUAAAUCUGGAAAGGCUCCCAAUGGGCAGGUUUGUGUGGAAAUUAAUCUAGAUAUUCGGUUGAAAUUUAAAAGUUAGAAGUGUCUUUUCACAACGAGGAGCUUGGCCUUUAUUGUGUUAUGCAGGCAUCAAUGGAACAUUGUGCACAGGUGAUCUUGUACACGCUCCUUAUGUCUGAGAGGUGAUUAUGUGCUGUCUUUCUUUCGUACUUUUGCUGGAAAACAACAUCUGUUAAUAUUUUUGUUGUUUCCAUCUCACAGUUUACAAUUUUCAGGUACCUAAAGCAUAUUGACAAUGGCCUUCUGUAUUAUCUACAGUCAGAUCAGACACAGGUGAGUCUAAACUUUUGUGUGCCUUUCUUUGGUCUCAAGAUAUUGGAAGUGGCUAAGCUUUCAUUUCUCACUUGUAAAAGGGAAUUUCUGUUCAAAGAUCAGAUUUGGUGGGUUUGAUUAUUCGUCGUAAUGAACUUGCAAAUGACAUCCUCGUGGCAUCAACAACCCAACAAUUGCCACCAAUGUUACGGGUAUGCUUUGAUGUCCAGUAAUGAUUUUUUUUUCUAGUGAAUAUUUACCAGAUAAUGGUAUGGUUUUAUUAUUUUGAUGCUAGAAUCCAAAUAUGUGUCGUAACUGUCGCCAUCUGGACGCCUGCACGAUUUAUCAUAAGGUAUUUUCUUGUGUCUAUGAUGAAUAAUGUUUUAAGCAUGUUUGGGGGAGAGGUAGAACGUCCAUCUUCAUGGUGUUGAACUUUCACCAUAUCUUAUGUGAUUAAAGCUUCUAAAACAUCUUAUAUGCUUGACCAGGCAGAUGGUGGAAACACGGAGAGUAGCGGACUUGCUGAUCUCUUUGACGCACAUGUAUCUCAUCUUUCAACUUUGCAUUUUAAAUUCAUACGACACUGGAACAGACUGAUUGACUUGGAAGCUAGAGAGAUGAAGGUCAGUCUUGAAUACCAGCUAAUUUUACUGGAGUUCAAACUCAACGGCCUUUUCUGAUUCGGAGACCUUACUACUAAGUUUGUUUACAGCUUCCAAGGAAAGACAUUGCACAUCCACGUGGUUCAAAGGGCAGCGACUCAGCCAGUUAUCUUUCUUCUAUGGUUCUUGACAUGAAAGAUGGGUUUCAGCAUCAUAGCUCUCAUAAAGAUUCUAGAUUCAUUUAUCGUUUUGUACGUCAAAACUUAUCUGAAUCUAGAGAAAGAGUACCCAGCGAAGAUACGACUAGGACUGGAAAGCCUUCAGCUGAUGACCUGGAUUGCAAACUUAGACCAGGAGACCGCGUGGUAUAUUAAUUUUUUUUGUUUUUGUUUUUUUUUGUCAUGGCUUAUCUGAACCGAUAGAGUUAGCUGUACUUGAAAGCACUGUGUGUUCAUUGGCCAUCUCUUCUUUCUGAAAGUUUCAACUUUCACUCUUAGUUUAUACUGUUUCCUUUUUUGUUUAUAAAUUUUCAUAUCCAGAUUCUUCGCACAGAAGUCAGCCACCUAACCGUUGCAAAUGGAAUUAUAGCAGAGAUUAGUCGCACUCAUGUAUCAGUAAGUACAUUCCUUAUUACAGUUUGUGGUUUUAGCAUAGUUUGUCUGGUACAAUUGAUCUAAUUCUUACUCAGACAUAUCUAAGAGUCCUGGAUUUUCCCUUUUCGAUGUUAAUCCUUAGGUUUCUUUAUCCAAGCGAUUACGUCUUCCUUGGAGCGAGCCUUCUUCUGAGGUGUCCAAUCUCUCUAAUGAGUCAUGGCGAAUUUACAAAGAUGAAUACAUGACAUCAUUUUCAAUUAUGAGGUGAUUUAGUCAUUUAUUGUUUUUUCACUUAUUGAUCCUACUUACAUGGGCUGUCACGAUAUUGAUUCAUCAUUAUCUUCCUAUUCUUCAAGGUUCAAUCUCAUGCAGCUUUUCAUACAAAGCGUACAUACCAUUGGCAUCAGGAAAAUGAUUGUGGAUCUUGAGGUGAUUUGUCUGAUUCAUCUUUUUUUAGAUUUCCCGUUGUCACGAUGAUGCUAUUUCUUAUAUUCUUCUUUACGCGCUUCAUUAUUCUUCUCUCUUCCAUGUCUCUGUAGCCUCCUAGGUUUGACAAUGGAUCUAUACUGAGCCAGGAUCCAGCAAUAUCAUAUAUUUGGUCAGAAAAGAGCUUAAAUAAUGAUCAGCGUCAAGCUAUACUAAAGGUCAUUGCAUGAUUAUGUUUGUUUGUUCUCUUGUUUAACGUGCUAUUCUUAACGUAUUUCUGAACGAAGAGUUGCUUUCUCUUUUUAAUUUUUCAGAUACUCACUGCAAAGGACUAUGCGUUGAUCUUAGGAAUGCCUGGAACAGGAAAAACCUCCACAAUGGUUCAUGCUGUGAAAGCUUUGUUGAUCAGAGGCUCAUCUAUUCUGCUGGCAUCGUACACAAACUCUGCAGUUGAUAAUCUACUUAUCAAAUUGAAAGCACAGGUCCUUUAUCCUCUAGCCAACUUUUUUUUUCUUUCUGGAUUAUGACUCUUUCAUCCAUCUCUAAAGUAUUUAUAAUUAUGUUUCACUCUGUAUCUUGUCGUUGAAUAAACUGCAUGAGCUUUUGUUCUUAAGAAAGAGUAAAAAACAUUUUUCUUCUUCAAAUGUUUACUUCGAGACAUAUAGGAAUAGUUUAGUUAUGACAUACUAUUUUGAAUGCAUUUGCAGGGAAUUGAGUUUUUACGUAUUGGAAGAGACGAGGCUGUACACGAAGAAGUUCGAGAAAGUUGCUUUUCGGGUAUGAAAAUAAUCUUCGAACUAUUAUAGCUUCGGAGUCUUAUAGAUAUAGUCUGGACUUAUCUUUGUGGCAGCUAUGGAUAUGUGCAGUGUCGACGAGAUCAAAACAAAGUUGGACCAGGUCAAAGUUGUGGCCUCUACAUGUCUGGGAAUCAAUAGUCCCUACCUUGUGAAUAGGCGUUUUGACGUUUGCAUUAUUGAUGAAGCCGGCCAAAUUGCCCUCCCUGUAUGAUAUCUCAUCUCACUUAUGUGUAAGAAUUGAAAGAAAGAGUGGACACAAUUGAGUUAACUGUUAUUGUUUCUUGUACUGAUCAGGUAUCAAUAGGACCUUUGCUGUUUGCCUCUACAUUUGUACUUGUUGGUGACCACUAUCAACUACCGCCACUAGUGCAGGUAAGCAAGCAUUUACCACCUCUUUUGAAAUAUCUCCCCCUUUUUCCAGUAACUUCAGCAUCCGUGUUGUGUUUUAUGAAAUUAGAGUACAGAGGCUAGAGAGAAUGGGAUGGGGAUAAGCUUGUUUCGUAGGUUAUCAGAAGCUCAUCCCCAGGCAAUUUCAAUGUUACAGAACCAGGUUAGCCUUGGGAUGGGCGUUGUUAUCGGGUAUAUACCAUUUUUGCUUUACCAAGACAAUUUUUGAUGUGCAGUACCGAAUGUGUCGAGGUAUUAUGGACCUAUCAAAUGCCUUGAUAUAUGGAGAUAGAUUGUGCUGUGGUUCCGCUGAAGUAGCUAACGCCACACUUUUUCUUUCUACUUCCAGUUCUAAUUCGCCAUGGCUUAGAAAGGUCAGUGUGUUGUUCUUAUACGUUUUAUAAAUUAGAGCAUCUUCAAGCAACUAAUAAUCUAAUAAGCAUCUUAAUUGUUUUUGUCAUUAGGUUCUGGAGCCAACCAGAACAGUUGUAUUUAUUAACACAGGUUGGUGGCUACUUGCUAGUUACUUUUUCUUCACAUGAGCUCUUGGAUUUUACAUGAGAGAUUAAAUGAUAUGGUUUUCCAGAUAUGCUGCGUGCUUUUGAAGCCAGGGAUCAGAAUGCGAUCAACAAUCCAGUUGAAGCUUCAAUAAUAGCUGAGGUACUGUAAAAAUAUGAAAGAUUCAUUGAAAGCAAAAGAAAACAUUGGGCUAACUUUAGUAAUGCUUUUCUUAGAUUGUGAAGGAGCUAGUUAACAAUGGAGUGGAUAGUAAAGAUAUUGGAAUCAUUACUCCUUAUAACUCACAAGCGAGCCUCAUUCAACACGCCAUUCCAACGGCGUCUGUGGAGAUACAUACUAUUGACAAGUAUCAGGUUUGGCUCUAGAACUCUCACCAUUCUUUUCUCGAGCAUUUUGAUUCGGUAAGCCUUUUGAUGAGAUCACAUGGUUUUAGGGAAGAGAUAAAGACUGCAUAAUAGUUUCAUUUGUGAGAUCGCGAGAGAAACCAAGGAACUCUGGUUCUUCACUGCUCGGAGAUUGGCAUAGGAUCAACGUUGCUUUGACACGAGCAAAGGUGAGAGAGAAGGAGAGCAUAUGGUGGUGUUGAGUAAUGUUUUUUUCCAAUUAUUGACACAAUGUUUUGUUUGGUUUGGUUUGCACAGAAAAAGUUGAUAAUGGUGGGAUCACAAAGAACACUAUCAAAAGUUCCACUCCUGAUGCUUCUACUGAAGAAGGUUAAGGAGCAGUCAGGUAUCUUGACUCUUUCUCCGGGGGACCUAAAACCAUAACAAGUCAUCAAGAAUCGCUUCUAGUAUAUUUUUUUUUGGUUUUUUGCCCAAAAGGACUGAGAAUGUAUAUGAUCAAUUGAUGUACUUUCCGAGUCUAGUUUUGUUGACAAGAGUGCAUCUAACAGUUGCAUGGUUCCAUUAUCAACGUAAAUACAGAGACUAUUCUUCAAACUGUCUACUUAGGCAGAGUGUAUAACACAAGCUAGUGUUAAGCAAUAUAUAAGAAGCAAAAUCAUUAAAAGUUUGGACCUAAGAAGACUAAACCACUGAACUAUCCAUUCUCUAUCGAUCAAUCAAGUUUAGCAAUAGAUGUAAUUCACAGAUUUGCAUAUAAUCCACAUACUGUCAUAUUCAAUAUUUAUUGUUUUCAACCAUCUCUGUUAUUCAUGAAAUAGAAAAAGGUUUUCUCUGUUUUUUUUUUGUCUUAAACCAAAUGCAUUGAGCCACUAAGCUCGAUGAAUAUAGCCACACAACAACAAACACAAAGUAGCCAGGUCAUGUACGACCUCCUUAUUCCAUCUCUCUCUCUCUCUCUCUUCCUCGAAAAGUAACAGCUUCAGCUUAGCCCUGAAGACCAAUAAUACCUGCAAAAUAGCAGAGACCAAACGUCAGUCGGUUGAUCCUUUCCGAGUCUAAUAGUACACUGAGACUGAAUUCCAACAAGCCUAUAGUUUUAUAGUCAGAGAAUCAAGGAGUUCAACUUGUGAUUGAUUUUAUACUGACGAGUUUCCACAGAAAGAAAACUGAGAAAAAUUGUGGUCUUUCUACUUACCACAAGCAACACGGCCUCCUGCAUUUCCAGUAGACAAGCUGAGUUCAUGGCCUCCUGAAAAUUUAACACACCAAUGAGAGUUUAGAGAGAGUGUUCUUAGGACUGAUGUUGAAGAUGUCCUCAUAUGGACAAUGUAACUUAGGGAAAUAAAAUAGCCAAAGGUCAUCACCCUUUCCAAGGUCAUCACGUUCUGCAUGGACAACAACAGCCCUUCCUACAAUAGAGUUUGGUCCAGUAAGAGGAAUCUGCAGACGGAACAACAAUGCAUUGGUUCACUAAAGCAGUUUUGUAAAAGGAAGAACAAAAAGAGAGCAGUAAAAUAGGUACCUGGCUGUCAGUGAUUGUGAAGGUGGCAGUUCCUGAGACAGCAAAAAGAAAGAAGAAGUGUGUAAACCCGUGAACACUAAAGAUGGUCUAAAGAUGAGAAACGUUCUACAAAACAGCUCUAAAGAAGAUUGAGAUCAGAGGAGAAGAAGAAGAAAAAUACCAUCAUCACCAACAAUGAUGUUUCCUAGAUCUCCAGCAUGACGAUUAGCAUCCUCAGGUGCACCGUGGGUUUUACCAUCAGGGUUGAAAUGUGGACCUAGAAUAGAAGUUCACUUAAAUUAUUAAAAACCAUGUAGACAAACACCAAGUUUCUCGGCCAUCCUUUCAAAGAGGUAGAAGAGUCGUACCGGUAGACAUGCAACCGUUGGUGGUGUCACCAAGAGCAUGGACAUGGAAACCAUGGGGACCAGGUUUAAGACCAGAAACAGUUCCAGUCACAGUUGUGGCACCUACAAAAACCAACACAAGAAUUCAAUCAUUUCAUAAAGAAUGAAAAAAAAAAAGAUGGCUUAAAAUAUCUUAAAGCGUUCCACUCUAAAAAAGUACAAGUACCAUCUCCUUCCUGGGUGAAGAAGAUAGUCCCCUUAACACCCUCACUGCUGUUCAAAACUGCAACUCCCUUGGCCAUAGUUUUGUAUAUCCUUUGUGAUCUGUAAAAUCAACCGAACAAAUCAUUCAUCUCAGCAUAUAUAUAUAUAUACAUGUACAGUCCAGAUACAACAAAUGGUUGUACAAAUACAUUAAGAUGCUCAAAACAGAUCUCAUCUAUUUAAACACUAAUCUUAUCUUAAUAUAAGCUUGAUGCACACACACAAAAAGGAAAAAAACAGAUCUUUAUGUAAACCCAUAAAAGAUAUAUCGAUUAGAACGAUUCAGGCAAACAUGUGAAUAAUAGAUCUAAAGAAUCCAUGUGAUUAAUCGAUCUAUGAUACAAUCAAUGAUCCAUAGUGACAAAUGAAAGCCAGAGGAGAAAAAGGGAAUCUAAACAUACCUCAGGGUACCCCUUUUGAAAUGAGUAAGAUGGUAGCUAUCAAAUGUCUGAAGUGAAUUUAAUCUGAAUGAGCUUAGCUUUGUGGUUGCUGCUUUGUCUUUGUGUACUUGUAUAUAGCCACGAGGUCGACAUGUGGGUAGGUGUUCGCUAUUUUCUUAAUUUAUUUAUUCAAUUAAUUAAUUAUCUGUUUAAUUAAUAAUAACCACGCAGGUGUGGUCUGGUCAGGAUAAUCCAAGAUAGAUAGAUAGGUCUUUGACUUUCCCUAUCACAUCUCUUUUUGGGCCGCUAAUGGGCUCUCUGAAUGUUGAAAUAAUGGGCUUUCUGAACUCUGAACAAGUGGGCUUCCCCAGUUAGAAAAUUGGUAGAUUCUGAACAUACUACUACUUCCGGGAGGUUAACCGCUGAUGAAUGUAAAGAGCUUUUGAUACAUUGCCGUAAAGAACAAAGGUAUGGUUUACAAAAAUGUAUAUCUUCUUUAGCGUAACGUUUUUGAUUUGGGAAUAGUAUUUGGAGUAAUAGCUCGUUUCGUUAGGUACAACCAUCUCCGAUCCGAUCUCACUCACUACCAUUAACUGCUCAGUUCCGUUGCCUCUUCGUCGUGGAGAGACGGUUAGUUUUUUAUUCCAUCUCCCUAUUUCAUCAUCAUCAUCAUCAUCGUUGUUUGUUUUCGUCUUUCUCUAAAAAAAAAAAAAACUAAAGCUUAUUCGUCUUUAGAAUUUGAUUUCAAAUUUCAAAUCGUUAGGCCUCCGUAAGAUCCGAUCCAUUUGAUCCGAGGAACCUGGGCCUUCCAAAACGUCGUCGUUCUAGUUUAAAUAUAUAACAAACUGAGUGCUAUAUUGAUUUGAUUGAGCCAGCCCCCGCAUUGAUCGUCGUCGAACUGUAUUCUGGCGUUUGAUUCCCCGCCGGUAUCGCUGAUAACAAAAGCGAGCGAACGCGUUAAGGUAUUAAACCGCGUUUGGCUCGAUUCUAGGUGACGGAAGAUCGAUAACGCGAACUCGCCUCUGAAUCUCCUCCGGCCUUUUGUUUGUUCUGGUUGAAUGAUUGAUUUAGAUUUUUCGUUAUGUUAUGAUCAUAGAUAAAGAUAUUUUCACUAUUGAUCUGAUUUUGCUCUCCUCGUUUAGUGAUUCUGAGCUGAUCUUGUUCUGGUUGAAUGCUUGAUUUGAUUUUGUUAUGUUAUGACUUAUGAUCAUAGAUAGAUUGUUUAUGAUUGUUACCAAGGCACUAUUGAUCUAAUUUUGCUAGCUUCAUGGUUGAGUGAUCAUAGGAUUAAUCUCUCUCUCUCUCUAUUUUUGUUGUUGUUGACAAUAGGGGCGGAGAGAGUCCUGCUGCAAGUGGUAGCUCUUCGAAGCUCAUUGCGUUUCACCAGAUUUUGUCACAGCAAACAUGAAUAUGCCUUUGUUGGAUAUUCAACCACGAACACUCAAGUUUCCAGGUAAAAAGAUGUCAAGGGAGGGAGACUCAUUCUUAUCAUUUGCGUAAUGAUAUCAUUUUUAGCUUACUUAAGAGGGUUCUCUGAAUUAUCAACUAUGAGUUGGCGUAAUGUUAAGGUCUAUGUUGUGCUGAGGAACUUUUUCAAACUACUUCUUGCUGCUGGUUUUGUGUGUGGUGUAAUUCUGUGAAGAUGGAAGUGUCUCUAAAAGGAUAUCUUUGCCUUUUUAGUUUUCAAAUCGUAUGUAAUUGUUAUCCUUGUAAGACUAAUGGGGUUUCCUAUUCUGUAGUUGAUCUGAAGAAGCAGACUACCUGCAUGGUCCUGCUAACCAAUACAACUGAUCGUUUUGUUGCGUUCAAGGUCUUUACACACAUUUUUUCUCCAUCUUCUCUCUCUCUCUGGCUUCAGGAUUUCUGAUAUCUUCCAGUUUCUCUGGAUAAGACAGCUAAAUUAGUAGUGGUUUUGGUAUUUUGACAGGUCAAAACUACAUCACCAAAGAAGUACUGUGUCCGUCCAAAUGUUGGCGUUGUUGCACCAAACUCAUCCUGUGAAUUCUCUGGUAAGACAAUACUUUAAUUUCUUGCACUAUAUUUCUUCGGUUAGUGGGGGAUAAGUUGUUGGUUGAUUGAUGUCUAUUGGCAUGGGAAAUGAACUCAAAUUUUUAUAUUUGAUUAGCUUUGUCUUCGGUACGCUCAAUUUUGAACAGCGUUUGGACUUUGUUUAGGAUCCUAGGCUUUCGGUGUUCACGUUGUAGUUGUCUAAAAGGGAAAAUGUAUCUUCCCCGGAUGGAGAUACUAAGUUCAAAUGAUUUCACUACAUGGAACCUGCGUUGUUGGCAAGCAUUCAAAGUUUAAUCUGGAUGAUAAGUAGUUCUUGUGCAUAUUCAAAUUCAGUUAAUGCUUUCACUUAAUCAGAGUUAUAUGUUAUUGCAGUCAUUAUGCAAGCUUUCAAAGAACCACCUCUAGACUUGGCUUGUAAAGACAAAUUUUUAAUCCAGAGUACUGCUGUGCCUGCGGACACAACUGAUGAAGACAUCACAGCUAGCAUGGUAAUCCUUUGAGCCUGUCUACCCCGAAAUUCAGUUAUUGGUCUGUCAAGUAUAUCUAUAUAUUCAUUUCAUUAUUCUUGGCAGUUCUCCAAAGGGGAAGGCAAACACAUAGAGGAAAACAAACUGAGAGUCACUCUCGUGAUGCCCUCCGACUCACCUGAACUAUCUCCAGUUAAAGGGCCAACGAAGGAGGAAGCAGUAUUUGAAGAUUCCAUCCUCAAGGAUCGAUCGUAUGGUCAAUCAGAGAUCCUUCCUCCUCCACAAUAUGUAAGACGAGUAUUUAGCCCUCUUUGAGAUUUUAGUAUACAUUAUAUGAAGAGUACCAGCCAAGCAGUGUGUAGUUCUUUCCCACCAAGUCCGUUUUAGCUUAGCCUAUAAUCAUAAUUACUGGAUGCAAUUGGCCGUUUAUUAUUCAUUUUUGUUUAUUCUCAAACUUUAUCUGUCUAGGAGAGUGAGAUUGUAAAGGAGCCUAGGAUGGUUGGGCAUGAUGAGCUAAAGGCAUCGUAUGGUGCAAAAGAGCUAGUGCAACCAAAAAAGGGCGUCAUGGGUUUUAUGGAAGAUUUGAAUCCUGCUAACGACUUAAAGCCAACACAUAACUUAGAUACUCCCACGGCCAUGGAUUUUCCUGGGGAUAAAGGGUUUACUAAUGGAAUGACUUACCCUGAGGUUGUCCAGCUAGAGAAAAGAGAUGGUCAGAAGAUCAAUGCAUCGGAUGAACACAAGUUGGUUAAAGACAUUGAGGAGAUGAAGGUGAAAGUCAAAGCUCUUGAAUCGAAGCUACAACAGGUAUGCUUACCACAUUUUAGAAGUCCAAAACCUGGGUGCUAUCUGUGCUAAUGAGUUAAAUAAUCUGGUGCAGGCUGAUUCAUUUCGAAGCUAAUGGAGGAGCGGUCUAUAGGAUCCCAACAUAGAGAAAGCUUGCAACAAGAGCUGGUGAGAGUAGCUAGUAGCGGCUUGACUACAUAUCUGUUUCUUUUUAUAACCGAGUAGUAACAAAAGUCUUGUAUUUAUGUUGAUGAUGAUGCAGACGGAUCUGAGGACGAAGAAGAUAGUGAAAGAGAAGCACAUAGGGUUCCCUCUGCUGUUUGUAUGCGUGGUGGCGUUCAUCAACAUUGUUAUCGGGUAUGGUCUGCGCACUUGACUGCUCGGUCUCUCUCAAGGUCACACAUACCUUUAAUAUCUCAAAGUAAGUGUGCAGUCAGAAAAUAUACACAAAAGAAGGGAAAAUAAGGUUUUGUUUUGUUUUGUGGGAGAGCGCAUUAUGAUGAGUUUCUCCGGGCACUUUAAAGAUGGAUUAUUAUAGACUUUGUAUAGCGUUGGGGUGUUAGUUGACACAAAUGGACAUAUGGUAAUAUGAUGAUGAUAUGCUUUGUUUUUUCGCUCUUUCACUUACUAAUGUUUAAGGAGACUGCAUGUUCCAAGUUAUUAACGUUCUUUUAAGACCUGGUACGUUUUAUACAAAAGGAAACGAAACACAUUUUAAGUCUGUGAAAAAAAUAUAUUGAAAUCUUUUGAGCCAAGAGGCUCUCUUUACUAAGUGUAUGUCUGAAUAAAAAAAUUCACGUCGGUAGGCUUUCAUCUUGGCCGCCAGUUUUCAUAUAUACAAAUAAGUAGAAGCUUCUUUCAUUAUCUAUCUCUUUGCUUUGGUUUCAAUUGGUUUGUGUCUAGGAGAAGAAACAGAGCCACCACCAAGUGCUGCAGCUGCUGACUCCACAUGCGUCAGAAGAUACUCGUAUAUCUUCUUCCUUAAUCCAUCAAUCGUUUCCUUCGACACUUCUUGUAACCCUUCUCCAUUCUCUUUCGACCCUAUCUCGUCUAACCAAUCAUUCACACUCUUCAACUGAGACAGCAUCCCAGCUAUCUGCCCGUUAUCAGACAGGUUCGAGCUUGUCUCCACAACGUCUGCGUCCAAGAAUCUCUCUACAAAUCCUAAGAACCAGUCUUGAGACACCGUUUGCAACUUCUCUGCCAGAUCAGUUGCCUCGUUCAGACCAUUUCCUUUCACCCACUUCGGCGGUGGAGACUCUGAUCCUCCUGCAACCGUGGUGGCCUUUUGGCUGCUUUUACGGAUCAUGCCUUGUGCCACAAGCUUUGAUCCAAACGUUGGCCGGUUUUGGACAUUUCCACGGGGUUUACUGGUUGUGUUAUUGCCCUGGCUCUCGAGUAUGAUCACUGGUUUGCUCUUGGACGCGGCUGGUUUAGUGGAGUAGACAGAGAAGGCUGAUAAGUUAGUGACCAACGCAGCUUGGACCCAAGAGGCUGCUAACUUCUGCUUCUCCAGAGCCGCUUUCACAGUUUCCUCAGAUCUGUUUGCUUCAUCUUCUACAGAAGAUGUUGAAGACACUAAUCUAGACAACGACUCGGUUACUAUCUGAACGUUCUUCAAACUGGAAUGGAGCUUCAAGAACUGCUCAACUACCGGUAACGGAUCAUCCAUCUUAGCCGUUGACAUAAGAUCGUUGUACAUACUACAAAAAUGGAGAAGCAUAAUAAAGUUUAGAAGCAGAGAAAAAAAAAACAUAUAUGGAUUUGUUAGAGAUUAACGCACAUGAGGCAUUGAAGUAGGCUCUCGGAAGCUGAAGCUUCUUGCAAGGCCUCUAUUGCAACAACUUGAGCAGCAUCUCUAUGCCUCAAAACCUCCUGCAAAUAUUCACAUCAGUAAGAUGAAUGUACUACAUAGAUGCAUAUGUUACAUUCGUACCUGUCCUAGCCUUGAAAGAGAUGAAGGUAGUGAACUCCAUUGGGUACUAGCAGAAGUUAAUCUUUUACUAUUAACAGGGACUUUGACCAAACUCCCAGGCAAUCCAUUCUCUGCAGUAGAUCUCUUGUCUACUGUUGUACUUGUAGACUUAGGCUUACUAGUUUUAUCUUUGGUCUCCACUACUGUUGACUCCACCUUCUUGGUUGAUUGAGUCUUACUGUUCUCCUUUGAUGAUUUUGCAAAUACAUUAGCCCUUUCCUGUUUGCUUGGCAACUUCUCACUAGAUGUGCUUUUCCGCGGCGCCUAGAAACCAAGUGAUAUUUAGACAAAAUGUAUGAUGCAAACCAGUUUAUUCAGAAGAGAGCUUACUGUUAAACUCCUGGCAUCAGGGGUCGUAUCACGUUUGGUAAGAUUCUUCAGUCUUGACCUAUCUGAAGCUCUGAUAUCUAAACUCCCUUCCCAGCUUUUCCUCAAGGCCUUAGCUCCAAACUCAAUCCCUUGCACAAAGUUCUUAAUCAGAGGAAGCUUCUUCCCAACACUGGGACUCUCCACUUUGAGAAGAAACCGCCCCUUCUCCGGCUUCACCGUCUGUUGCUGCUUAAUCCCAUUUGCAAACUUUGCAAAAGAAGUAGGCAGAGAAUAACAGCUAGUGGGAGAAGAAGGGAUUGACUUUGAAGUCUUCAACUUCCUCAAUGGUUCCUUUCUUACAUCCAAACUCAAACCUGACUUGGCUCUGGACAGAGAAGACGGUUUCUUACUCUCACAAGACUCACUCUUAUUAGGAGCAACCACUCCUCCUUUGGCAGUUGCCUUAACUCUCUCUUUUGGUUUCAAACCAUUACCACUGAGGAACUGAGUAGCUACAAUAUCUUCAGGAGUGCCGAGACAAGGAUGCCUACCGGGAACAACCCUAACGCCACAGAGAAUCGGAACAGGGGAAGAAGACUCAACUCUGUCAACAUGAAUGAACUGGCCUAGUUGGAGCUUAUCGCUGAGAAUCAAAUCAUCUUGCUCGUCAGGGAGAGAGACGUAGGUGGCGUGAGAGGAGUCAGAGACUUUGAGAUAAAAGCCUUGGUUUGAGAAAAGCUCUCCUCCGGCUAGAGCAGGGACGAUGCUAAUGACUUGUAAGAGAGAUGACCUGUGUUCUCCGGCGAUUUUGACGUCGGUGUUCAUGUGCUGGAGGAGCUUGAGUAAUACACCAGGGACUAGAUUCGCCAUAGCUGAUGGAUCUAAAGAGAGAUAGAUCUUCAGAGAUGAUUAGAAACUGCAAAGGCAGAGAGACAACUAAUUAAUAUCAUGGCCACAGAGAGAAGCACAGAGAAAGAGAGAGAGAGAGAUGAUUAAUUGAAUAAAAUAUAUAAUAAAGACAUGAGUGAGAGAGAGUACAGGUAAGAGGAAUGUGAAAAUAAUGUGAUAACUGUUGUGUUGUAUCUUGUAGUACAAACACAGACACAACACACUUUCUUUGAUUUUAAGAUUGAGCCGUCAGUUAAAAGAAGCAAGUGACGGGUCAGACUCAGAAUCAGAGAGAUGCAGAAAAAGAUAGGCUAGAUUCAUGUGUUGUGGGCCUUGUGGCUUAUGUGGAUAUAAUAUCAUCUGUGUAUACUUCUUUUUUUUUAAGUCGAUAAAAAACUUUUAUUUACCAUAAAUGCAUAAUGUUUUUCUAUAUGUAAAUUUAUUCGUUUUACAUUUUUCCAAGUUUAUGGAAUUCAAUAUGUAAAGCAAAUAUAUCUGACCAUAAAUGUAUGAUUAGAGGGUAGUAGUAAUGAGAAAUAAAUUCGCCUAGUAAAUGUUCCUCCAACUAUAAUCAUUCAUGUAAUCAAAUGGAAAAUUUUGCUGGUAAAAAAUCAGUUUAUGUAAAUGUAAAUCUUAAAUCUACAAUAACAUAAAUUAAAUGAAAUUUACUUACAUAAUACAAGUCAACUCUGUCAAAAAAGCGAAGUCUAACUAACAUUUGUAGUAACCUUUGUAUAAAGUUGACAAGAGCAAAAAGUUAUUGGUUGUUGUAUUUUAAUGAAUUUGAAAAUCCAAAUUAAAUCUAGUGUUAUUGGUUCUAUGAUUUUCAAAUUUGUAUUAAAAUCAUGUGUUAUUUGUUUAAUAAUUCAUGCAUUCAAUAUCAAAUCAAGUGUUAUUCAAUCAUUCAGAUUUACUACUAUAUUUAAUUUUAUAAUGGAUUUGAAUAGAUUUUUUAGUUGAAAAUACAAAAACUCAAAUCCGAGAAAAACCUUCAGGACUUAUAAAUACUAUAUAAAUUUCUAAAUCAAUCAAAAUAUAUAAACCAAUAACCUCUUAUUCACCUCAGAGAAAGCAUUGUGAUAAAAGUAAUAAUACAUUGAUGCGAAGCUGCAACAAUUAAGAUCAUACAACAGAGAUUAAGUGAAGUGGAGAUGAUGAUGAUAAUGAGCGUCCUAUCCUAAGAGCCUGGCUGCAUCAUAACAAAGAUGAUGACACCAUUACAACGAGAACCAUCACCGCUAUGCUGAGGUGAACAUCUUCUUUAAGACCGUGCGUGCACGGAAGGCUCAUUGAGUGGCAUGUCGGAUUUGAUCUUGCUAAUUGAGUCUCUACUUGAAAAGGCUUCGUAAGGUGAAUCAGUAUGAAUGGUCUCCAUAACUGAACCGAAGAAAUUUGUCACCGGUACCUAAAAUCCCAUAACAAGUGAGUACAUUAAUCAUCUCAAGACAGAGAUAGUUCAUCAAAGAUAGAACAAGCAACUAAAACUGAGGUUUGGUUAAACAUAAUAGUAAGACAAAACAAUGAAUAAUCACUUUCCUCCUUACCUCAGUCAGUUUUGGCUGGUAAAGAUCAGUUCGGUAGUAGGCAGUAGACAUUAGCUGGCUCGGAUCAUAGGAACUAAACAAACUGCACAAAAGACUCAGAGAGUUCAGCUAAAAAGGCGCAUCAGUUUUAACAAUGAUGAAGUUGCAUUGUUAUCGACUUAUGGUAGCUGUUAAGUGAUGCAUUGUCAUAUAUGUUGAGCCUCUCAAAGAAGGCAAGAGUGUAGUAUGUAAACCGAUCUACAACAGAUACACCAAUCUGAAGCAAAAACAAUAUUAGAAUUGGAGAUUUAUACAAUGAUAAAAAACAAGAAACAAUCCCCAAACAAUAUAACGACUUUGCAUUAAUGAAAUAGUGAAUGGCACUUUACAUCUGAGUCCAGGUGAUGUGAGUAUGAGUUCUCUCCUUUAAGACUGCUACCAAUUGCCAAAACACCAGGAGAUUGAAGCUACCAAAACAAAUGUUUAACAACGUAAGAGAAGUAUCCAAAUGAUUAGAUUAGAUGUCAAUGCUAAGAACAAGCUGUUCGUAAAGACACGAUGAAUAUCAAAAUAUUAACUCCAAAGGCAGAAAAAAAAAUGUGACACUAAGAGAUGUACCUGGUUAAAGAGAGUGGCAGCUUGGCAAGUAUCAACCAUAAUCAUCAGCUCCUUGAAUCUGAGCUAGCCACGUCAUUAGAUUUGUCAAAACAGUAAGUAAAUAUAGUCUCACAUGAACUUAAGAAAGACCAUUUAAAUGAGAAACAAACAAACCUAGGCUUCUCUUUCAUUUGUUUGACAGCAUCAGCUAAGUCGUGGCUCUGGAGUUCUUCAGCAUCUUGAAACUUGAGAAACUCAUCACCUCUAUGGCCAGUCAUGUAGAGUAGAAUAUGGCUACUCUCAUGACGCCCAGUGCAGGAAAUUUUCAACUGUCACCUCGUAACCACGAUAAUCUACCCGAGUGAAAAUGAUAAUUACACAAUCAACCUUUCUCCUGGAAAUGAGAUUAUCUAAUAUAUAGCUAGCUACUCAAGAGAGAAAAAUUCACAUACCUCAACGUUAUCUCCGUAGAGGUUGAUUUGGAGGUGGUUUUCAUUGUUGAAAACUUGAGCAGGAUAUUGGUUUCUAGAGUUACAGGCCAUAUCAUCAGCGAGCAUUAGGAUGAUGCGUUCAUCAGGUAUUCCAAGUCUCUUGACUGUCCUAUAAAAAAAAAAAAAAAAAAAAGUAAAAGAGAACAAGAAUGUGAAGAGAAACUACAUCCAAGAAUGGUUAUUAUUCCAGCAUAAAAGGGAGAGAGCUUUAACCUAUGGAGGGAGAGUGUAUUGGCCAUGUGCCUGUAGUUAAACCAGAGAACAUAUAUCAUCAAAUCAAAUCACAGCAACCAAUAGAUUUAAACUCCAAAACCUUAACCCCAUUUGUGAAAUCAAUGGAACAACACAAAGCUAUAGCUAAUAACUGACUGAGUGAGAGAAAGAAAGAAUUGACCAGAAUCGAGAAGUGCAGACUAAGACAGCCCAAUUGUUCGUGUGAAUACUCGUCUCUCCCCAAGUUGAGGCUCAACAGAGAAGCACUACUACCACCAGUAUAUGAAUAAUCUUCAUUUUCCCUAAACAAGAUCUGGAACACAACUCACUAUUGAUCAAACCGGAUAUUAGUUUUUUUUUUUUAAAUAUUGGAUCCUUAAACAUAUCCUGUGUUUGUCAUCAACACAAUACACACUGUUAUGUUGGAUUUGAUUGGUAACACAAAUCAAACAUUUUACAAUCGAACCAUCAAUAAACCGGAUUAUAUUAUUGAAAUUUGAUGAUUUUUUUUUUUUUACUUUGGCUUCUGACCGAUAAGCCAAUAAAAUAAGCACAGCAUCGCGGCUUUUUCUAUAACAAAAUACACCACAAUAUAUAUAUAGUCAAGUGGUUUUUCAUUUACAUUCCUCAUAUCGUAGGCUGAUAAUGAUUUUAUGAGGAGGCAGGCACAAUUGUAUAUGAUUUAACCGUGUCUUUCGUAUAUUCACCAGUAGGAAACUACUGUGGUGAAGGAAGCACGAGCCGGUUCAAUGGCUUCAGCACUUCCGUCAGCUGAGCAAACGACGGCCUCAGAUUCGGAUCCCUGCCCCAACCAAACACAAAAAGAAUACUUCAUUUGUCAUCUCUGUGUAGAUUCUGUUUUAAGUGUAUUGAUUGAGUUUUGUUUUCGCAACUUACGUUUGCCAACAUUCCAAGAUGAUCCUUCCCACCACAGGAUCAAGUUCCUUUGGUAUCUCCAGCCUCCGAUUCUGGAAACCAACCGCUCCUACUACUUGCAUUGGGUUCAUUCCUCUCCAUGGCAAUCUCAAUGUCGCUAGUUCCCAUAGAAUCACCCCAAAGCUGUACACAUCACACCUGCGGGAAAACGAAGCCACCAUGAAUUUUCUAUUGCAUUCUCCUUGGAAAAGGUGAAAGUACGAAGAACCAAGUACCGAACUGAGAGCGUCUAAGCUACUUACUUUUCAUUUGAGGGCUCAUUGCGUAGAACUUCCGGAGCCAUCCACUCGGGCUAACAAAAUUCAAAAUGCUUCUCAUCAGAAAAUGAGCCAUACCCCUCAGAUUACGAGCUGGAAAUUGCAUGUCUCUAUCAAGGGAUAAAAGAGUUGUGUAUUCUCACCGUCCCAGCAGUUGAUUUUGAGGACAAGAAAGUAUUGUGCUUUAAGCGAGACAACCCAAAAUCACCUACCUGCAAGUUUAGAGAGAAAAUAAAAAUUUCAACAGCAGAGAAAACAAGCCUAUUAGUUAGACAGAUUAGAAAAAAAAUGUUUACGUACCUUAACAUUCCAGUUGUUAUCAACCAAAAGGUUUGGUGUUUUUAAAUCACGAUGAACAAUUGUUGGUGUGCUUGUGUGUAAGCAAUUCAUCCCCAUUGCCUGAAAAAUUAACAAGUGAUCUGAAAUUCAGUGACUAUAUUAAAGGAAUCAGCCAAGGGGAGCUUGGAAUAUGAUAAAUGGAAUCUAUUUUUUCUACCACAUCAAGGGCCAUUUUGAUCCUGCGCCGCUCGUCAAUCUGAGACUUGGGCCGAUGAAGGAUGCGAUACAAGCUUCCUCUGUAAUAGAAAUAAUAAAUAUAUAAUCUUUGAGGCUCAAAAGUCUCAAAUGGAAUAGAUUUUCAUAACAAGACGAUGGGGCAAACCUUGGCAGAAACUCAGUGACAAUGGAAAGGUUCGGAGGACGAGUAACCGCCCCAAGGAAGAAAACAACAUUUGGAUGUCGCAAUCUUCGCAUAAUGCGUACCUUUAGAUAAGGAAAUAUUAAUAAUAAGAAUGGCAAAUAUAUAUAUGCAGCUGCAGCAUAGGCCACUAUGGUUCAACCAAAAAUAUAAAUUGGUAGUCUACUUCAGGAGAAAACCCUGACUUCAACAAUUAAUUAUGAGAAUUUUAUGAGCUCGUAAACAAAUGCAAGGGAAAGUUAUGCCUUACUUCUCUUCUGAACUCAGCCAAAGCAGCUCCUGAGAAGUCCUGGUCCAAAAAUUUCUUGACAGCAACUUCCUAAAUUCAACCACAACAAAGACGCAGAAAAAUAAAGUUGAAGCCUUCCACUUAUCGGAUAAAAGAUGAGAUACUACCGCACGGGCAUAGCUAUUUUAAGUAAGGAAAAUUAUUAAAGCUAAACAAACUAAAAAGACAACAGCUAGUACUGAUGAGAUAGCAACAGACGAUGCCAUACAUGCCCCUGAUGAAUUGGUGAUCAAACAAGCUUAUCUAAAAGUGCUUUUCAAAAACUAUUCACUUAAAGAACACAAUCACUACUUUGAGUGUUCAAAAGACCACACAUUCACCUAGACGCUGCAUUUAGCUGUUUGAAGUCAUGUCAUUUAACACACUCUUAAAUCUUCCAGACGAUAACAAAUUUGAACUAACUUAGAGCAAUUUCUUGAAAAAAAUAACAGAUGAAAGUUACUACAACAGCAAUUUUAUGAAGUCAAACUGUAAGGUUCUGCAAAAACUAACCGUGCCAUUCCAGUCAGCAUUAUAGACCUCCCCAUAGGACCCUAACCAAAACAAGAUAAACAUUAGAACAUAGCUAUCCCAAAAAGCUAGACUAAUAUUUCGGAGAUUUAAGAAAAUAACUGGAAGGCCUCAUUACCUAAUCCUAUUCUCUCCCCAAUCACAAGAUCCUUCCAAGGGAUUUCACAUUCACCAACAUCAGCAUCAUCAAGAACUUGAGGAUCAUUCCGGUAGGAUGUAGAAUCAAGAGAGGAACUCGUGCUUUCAUGAUCCUUAAGCCUCGGAUCAGACCCAGUAGAUAUGUCAUCACUUGUGUACUUUCUAUGAUCGUCAACGUGAGAUUCAUCCUUUUGGUAUCCAACAACAGCAUUAGGCUGGAGAUCUAGUUCACUGCUGGUGUUUCUAUUCAUAUCAUCUACCAUACUUGGUGUGAACUGAUUUCCAUUGGAACUGAAGGGUGGUGGUGCAGCAACAACAGGUGACACAAAAGUGGAAUUGUUUCUACCAUGCAUAUUUGACGAAACCGCUACACCGGAGCUUGAGGUAGCGUAUGAGGAAUUAUUGUUUCCGUAACGAGGAUCACGGUGGAGUUUCGGGAGAAUAUUCUCCUUUCGCUUUGGGGCUUCAUUGCAACUGUAGUUUUUCCACAUCAUCGGUGCAGGAGACUUACCAACCAGAGGAUUGUUUUUUGGUUGAUGAAAAUCAUCAACAUUAUUCAACCCUGAUUUAGUGGGCAUGAACAGCUUGUCGGUUCCCUUGUUCUGAAACGGGUUAAGGUCUGCGAAAAGGUUUUUUGGGUCUUCCUCAGUGUUCUGAUUGUAUGGAACUAUGUUCACGUUCGUUCUUGAACUAUCAUUUACGGCUCCUCGACUCCCCUUUGCAACUGUAUUCAAGGAAAUAUUCUCCAACUGGCUCGAACUAGUUACGCUAGAAGGUGAAGCUCUCAAAUCUGAAUUCCUGAUUCCAGACUCUCGAUUUCUAUCCAAAGAAGAAUUGUUGUCAGCUAUACAACUCUGACUACUGCCUUCACCUUCUGAAAGCUUUGGCGCCGAGUGCCGAAAGUCAUCGGACAACUGAGCAGUGGGAAGUUUGUUUCCAUGCGAGUUAUUUGGCUCAAUCGCAAUAUCAGCAGGUAUAAGCGUCCCAGGAUCCGUCAUAAGAUCGACCAAGUACUCUCUGAAAGGAGGUAUGAUAUGUUACAUCUUCGCAACAAAAAUACAAAAUGAAACAUUACUGGAAUCAUAGUGAGAAGAAUGAAAGAACCUAUUAUCUUCAAGCCUUAUUGUGUUCACAGCAUCAUCCUCGUUGCCCGUGUAAUGGCUACCUUUUACCAACCUACAAGGUAACUGGACACUAUCUGCCAAAACCUACAUUGGGAGAAGUAAACUGCCCACAAAUUAAUUUCUAUCAAACAAGAUAUAGCAUAAGCAGCAAAGGCAUCUGCCUAGGUGCAAAAAAAAAAAAGUUGUGGAUGUCUCAUUCAAACAAGGUACCACCUAUACUAUAUCAAUCAAUGGUAAGCUGAAGAUUCCAGUGCAAGAGGUUGAAACUCAAUGAAAUUACAAAAGAUAUCUAUAUGUACAACAAACCGUCUCAAUAUUCAAUUCACGUCACAAGGCAUUCGCUGCGACAAAAGGUAUAUCUAUAUGUACAACAAAUCAUCUCUAAAAGUUACAAUUUUAGAAAUUAUUUACUUUUUAUGUCUCGAGUGCUUAAUCAUGGCCUAAGCGUAAUGAUGCUAUAAAUAUAUCUCUAAUCAUAUUAUAAAACUAUUGUGACAACCCGCCCCAUGGGAACUAUCCACCCGUGGCCCAGGUUCACAUCCCGCAGGGUACCGACCCUAACCCCUCCAUUAUGAAUCCUCUCUGACUCCAUAAUUAGGUUAUUGGUGCGCUUGGCGUUACUCGAACCCAUGACAAGCUGUCAAUUGGUCACAACUUGUCAUGUGAGAGUGUUGUUAAAGGGUGAGGUAUUGGGUUCGAGUAACGCCAAACGCAUCAAUAAUAAACUACAUGGGGAAUGAGUGAGGGCUCACAUGUAAGGGAUCUGUGAGCCGGGUUGUGAGCGGGAGGGGUUGUCACAAUUAUAUUCAUACUGCAAACUAGAUCCAGGAAGAGGCGUUUGGAAGAUAACCUUGAAAAGCAGAGCACGAUGCCUGGAGAGACCAAUAUUUACAAAACCAAGAGGGAAUACACAAGUGUUCAACGCAGCCUUGUACUCGCUGCUUUUCUCAGUCCACCUUGCCAAAACAAUACUCGAAUCCUCGGCAGAUCCACCCAUAUGCCCUGUGACAAGCUCCGCCAGCCUCUCUACCAGCACGUCAACGCUAGCGGAACGACAAUCCUGCGCAAUGCACUGCGCAAUCUGCACCAACUCGUCAAGAGAAGUAUCAACGGGACGAUUCACAACCACAGCUUCGAAUCCACGUGUCCCUCGAUUGCUCUCGAGAUGUUCUAAGGACGGCAUAUCUCCCUGCUUAGCUGAGUCUGUGGUGAGACUGUAAACGUCGUAGAAUCCAUCUACGAUCUUCUCCUCGUAAUCAAGCACACCGUAUUCCUAAGAGAAGAAGCAUUAUAACAGGUUCAAAGAAGAAACAAUGCAUACAAAUUGUCCUAACAAACUUUUUACAAUUUUUCUUAGAUUGAAUCUUUUCCUCUGCUAACAUUCUCUAUAACCUAUGAAACUCCAUUCAUCUCCUGCCACGUGUCUUCAUCCCUCUUUUACCUGUAUCAGCGAGAACAACUUACCCAGUACUGCCUCGAUAGCCUCUGGGCGAUAACCUCCGACGAAUCCCUCCUCGGAUCCAUCCGAUGAUGGCUUCCUAAGCUCAGAAGCGUCGCGGCUCGGAUCUGAUGCUUCUCGGGAUCCUCGCCGGACUGCGAGUUCGAAGCGCUGAUCGCUAGGGCUAGCUGGACUUGGUACUCCUCCUCUGACGAUAUGUAAUCGGAACGGUUCGUCGUGGCGGCGGAGACUGGAGCGGGAGAGGUUGUUGUCGAAGAAGCGGUUACGCUCGCCGCCGGAAUCGACUCCGUUGAGCCUGAUUGAGGAUUCGCGGCGGUUUGUAUCCGAUUCUGAUCCGACGGUGGAGCUCCUGCUGCUGCAUCGUUGGUCCGAUUCUGAUCCUGAUUGCCGCCUCUGUGUAGCUUCUUGAAGAUAUGCUUCAUCGUUUCGCCGUGAGAUUCUUCGGUUUGGUGAGGGGAAGUAGUGAAAAGUGACGACGGAGGACUUGGCCGGCGAUGAAAUAGAGAGGGAAUCGAAUUACGAUUAUGCCACUGUGUUGACCUUGUUUGUUUUAUUAUCCAAUGGCGAUGAAGCGAAAGAGGGAAUGUGACACGUGGCAUGCGGAUCCACACGCUGGAAACUUUUUACGCGGCUAAAAGGGUAAAAGUGUGAAUAAAAUGAAAUAUUUUUCUUUUAUUGUAUGUCGGAAAAAAUUCUCAUGUACUGUAUACACUUCUUCUCUAGAUGCAAAAGGGUUUCAAUCCAUAGCCAUACGAUUUGUAAGAUCACAAAAGUUUAACACCUAAAAGGUAAAACCUAGGCCUGGGCAUUUCGCCUGGAUUUAAAAAUUCGAACUCGAAUCGAACCAAUAAUACCGAACCCGAAAAUUUACAAGUAUCUAGAUGAUCAAAAAUUCUUAUACUUGGAAGAAACGAAGCUGAAAAGAACCAACACAAAUAGAUCUGAUCCGUUAAAAAUCAAUUCAUACCCGAUUUAAGAAUAUCAAUAUCUAAAAUAUGAUUUUGUAACAUUUUAAAUAAUGUAAAAAUUUAAAUAUAAAUUUAGAGAUUAAAGUUUCAAUUAGUAACAGUUUUUUUUUGUUAUUUUGCAAAAUUUAAAAUAAAUAUGACAAACUUUAGCUAAAUUUGAUGCGUUAUUUAUUUAUGAAGACAUUUUUACUAUAUGGUUCAAUAUUGUACACAUUCCAUCUUUGAUCGGAUGUAUCUAUUGUUUGGGGAGGAGUUUGAGGUGGUUUUGGUAAUCAAUAUCAAUGUUUUAAUUAAAAAGGUGGAACUAUUUUCUUAAGUUUUUGAGUAACUAGCAUGUAUUUUGGUGUGUAAUAUUUGUUUUUAUAGGUUUCAGUUUAAACUUCACUCCUGUAGUGGCUACAUUUGCUAAUUACUCCAAAGAGUAAAACAGUUAUCACCAUUAUAAGCAAUGACAGCAUAAAUAAAUAAAUGAAUUUUAAUUAUUUAUUUUCUUAUUUUUAGUAAAAUAGAAUUCUCUCCAACCACAUGUAUUUUUUCAAAUGGAUUUUGAUCAUUUACAGGCUGCCAAGAUUCUUCCUGCAUAUGAAGAUUUUCAGAUCGAUCAUAAACAAAAUAACUGAUAACCAGGUUUGAGUGUGGAUGAUUAUAAGACAUGUGGGGACAGGGCUCUACGUACUCGGAAUCAUAAGGUAUAUCAAAUGGAUUUUGAUCAUUUACAGGCUGCCAAGAUUCUUCCUGCAUAUGAAGAUUUAGAUCAAUCAUAAACAAAAUAACUGAUAACCGUUUGAGUGUGGAUGAUUUAUAAACAUCUAAGAGAAAAAUGCAAAGAAAAAGUGGAACCAUGUAAGGGGAGUAUGCAAAAUUCCAUAUUCCAUAUUGGGAAAUUAAGAAGAGUAAUUAACUUUUCACUUAAUCAGGUAUAGAAGAAGGCUUCGAGGACACUAAAGAUCAAUAACAUUUCCUAUCAGGGGCGAAGGCAGGUUAUGAGUAGAGAGUGCAUGUGCAUCCAUAGAAAUAAUAAAAUUUAAAAUUUUAAGCUUAAAACAAGUAGAAUUUGACAGGUAAAAUGGUAAAAGGCAAGUUGUGCACCCACGCUAACUCAAGUUCGAUUAUCUUCUAUGUUUUUUUUAUUAAUAGUGCACCCAUGCCAAGUAUCUUCUGGCUUCGCCCCUGUUUCCUAUUACCUAAGCUCAAGUCAAAGAGUAACAACGAAGCUCAUCAGUUGCGAACUCAGUAGAGAGAAGAAAGAUAAAAUACUUUCAAGGUUAUUGCAGCGACGACUUGGUGGGAGCUUUAGAAGUCCACGAAUGAUUUUCUCGUUUCGUUCUUCUUCUCUUUUACUUCCCAUUUCUCCAACCAACAACCAAAAAAAUGGAAUACAUACAAAUUGAAUAGUGGCAGUUAGAAAGAAAAAAACAUGAAUGGUAGUUUUUUUUUUUGCAGGAAUGUAGUGAAAUGAAAAUAUAUUUAGUAUAUGUAAGCAAAAGUUAUUAUUUUAUAUAAUUUUUAAUUUAUUUUUAUUUUUUGUUUCUGCUUUUUUUUACUUAGAUCAUUACAUUGCUUUCAUAUAUUCAAUUGGAAUUAGUGGAAUACAUUUUAUUUUUCAUUCCAAUCAAAUUGUAAUAUUUUUGUGGAAUCUUCAUGAAUGUCUCAUUGCACAUAGUUUUCAAAAAUGUACAUCCAAUUGCAGCCUUAGUUUAUUCCAUUCAUUUUCAGAUUGACAUAGUCAAUAUUGAUCUUGUAAUUUCUAAAACUAUAAAUAUGAAAAAUGGUUGAUCACGUUAGUUUCGCUGACUUUGUUCUAUUUUUCUAUUUUUCACAAGUAUGAAUAAAAUAAACUAUUUUUAUCUUAUUUGUUGUGUAUAUAUAUUAAAAAUGUUAGGAAAUUUUUUUUAAAACAAAAUUACAAAUCAUUGUUUAUACUAUCUCUUAUCAGAUAUUGAGCCAUGAAGUCUUCUAUCUUCUUCGUUGUUUUUUGUGUUGUUUUGUUGCUCGUUUUGAACUAUCGUGAAGGUAUAUAUCAAUAUACUCGUUUUAUGACUAAUAAUUUGCAGGAAAUAUAAUUAUCAAUCCAAUUCUCAAUUUGCUGCAUUAUCAAAAGAAAACCUAAAUUUUUUUUUAUUACAUAAUUUUAAAUUGAAAACUCAUUUUUAUCCUUUCUCUUAUCAGAUAUCCAGCUACGAAGUUUCCUAUAUUUCUGUUUUUAUUAUUUAAUUUUGAAAAAAAAUAGUAGAGUUCAUUGAAUUACUAUUAAUCCUAAUUAAAAAUAUUAAAAUUAUAUAUUUAUAAUAAUAUUUUUAAUAAUAUAAAAAAUCUUCAUGAAAAUAAUUUUUUGAUACAUUGAAUUUCUUAAUCUUCAUAUUGACGUAGUUAACUAUGAUUUUGAAAUUUCCAAAUUUAGUGUAAAAAAUAUUAAAACAAGAUGAUCACGUUAAUUUCGUUGACAUUGCUUUAUUUUUCUAUUUUUUAAAAGUGUAAUUAAACAAACUAUUUUAUCUUAUCUAUUGUGUAUAUUUAUUAUGAGCGUUAGAAACUUUUUUUUAACAAAAAGACAAAUCAUUUUUUUUUAUGAUAUCUCUGAUCAAAUAAUAAGUCAUGAAGUCUCCUAUUUUAUUCAUUGUUUCUUGUGUUUUCACAUGAUUUUUUGUCGACUUGUUUCUUGUGUUGAUUUGUUGCUCGUUUUGAGCUAUCCAGAAGGCAUAUAUUAAUUUUUGUUUUAUGACUAAUAAUUUGCAGAAAAUAGAGUUUUUUUUUAACCAUUUGGAAAAUAGAGUUAUCAACCUGAUUUCAAUUUUCUGCAUUAUCAAAAGAAAACUAAUUUUUAUUUAUUAAAUAAAUCUUCUUUCCAUCGUUACUAUAAAACAGGAGAAGCAAUAGCUCUUCGCUACAGGUGUAACGUUACAAUGAAGGGUCGUGGAACAUGCGGAAAUAAUGGAAUACAGCGUUGUCUCAAUGAUUCCAAGGAAACCAAAUACUUUCGACUUGUUGAUCAAUGCAGUAAAUGUGAAGACUCUAAACCCCCUAAAUAUCGUACCUGCAGUUGCAGUCAACCUAACCCUUACCAAUGCAAAUAAAUUCAUAUCGGGGUCAAUUAUGCAUCCAAUAUAAAAAGAUAUAUUUUAAUUUUAUUUUCUUAGUAAUAUAUAUAUAUAUAUAUAUAUAUAACACACUUCCAACCUGAUUUCAAUUUUCUGCAUUAUCAAAAGAAAACUAAUUUUUAUUUAUUAAAUAAAUCUUCUUUCCAUGGUUACUAUAAAACAGGAGAUGGGGAAUGAGUGAGGGCUCACAUGUAAGGGAUCUGUGAGCCGGGUUGUGAGCGGGAGGGGUUGUCACAAUUAUAUUCAUACUGCAAACUAGAUCCAGGAAGAGGCGUUUGGAAGAUAACCUUGAAAAGCAGAGCACGAUGCCUGGAGAGACCAAUAUUUACAAAACCAAGAGGGAAUACACAAGUGUUCAACGCAGCCUUGUACUCGCUGCUUUUCUCAGUCCACCUUGCCAAUACAAUACUCGAAUCCUCCGCAGAUCCACCCAUAUGCCCUGUGACAAGCUCCGCCAGCCUCUCUACCAGCACGUCAACACUAGCGGAACGACAAUCCUGUGAAAUGCAUUGCGCAAUCUGCACCAACUCGUCAAGAGAAGUAUCAACGGGACGAUUCACAACCACAGCUUCGAAUCCACGUGUCCCUCGAUUGCUCUCGAGAUCUUCUAACGACGGCAUAUCUCCCUGCUUAGCUGAGUCUGUGGUGAGACUGUAAACGUCGUAGAAUCCAUCUACGAUCUUCUCCUCGUAAUCAAGCACACCGUAUUCCUAAGAGAAGAAGCAUUAUAACAGGUUCAAAGAAGAAACAAUGCAUACAAAUUGUCCUAACAAACUUUUUACAAUUUUUCUUAGAUUGAAUCUUUCCCUCUGCUAACAUUCUCUAUAACCUAUGAAACUCCAUUCAUCUCCUGCCACGUGUCUUCAUCCCUCUUUUACCUGUAUCAGCGAGAACAACUUACCCAGUACUGCCUCGAUAGCCUCUGGGCGAUAACCUCCGACGAAUCCCUCCUCGGAUCCAUCCGAUGAUGGCUUCCUAAGCUCAGAAGCGUCGCGGCUCGGAUCUGAUGCUUCUCGGGAUCCUCGCCGGACUGCGAGUUCGAAGCGCUGAUCGCUAGGGCUAGCUGGACUUGGUACUCCUCCUCUGACGAUAUGUAAUCGGAACGGUUCGUCGUGGCGGCGGAGACUGGAGCGGGAGAGGUUGUUGUCGAAGAAGCGGUUACGCUCGCCGCCGGAAUCGACUCCGUUGAGGCUGAUUGAGGAUUCACGGCGGUUUGUAUCCGAUUCUGAUCCGACGGUGGAGCUCCUGCUGCUGCAUCGUUGGUCCGAUUCUGAUCCUGAUUGCCGCCUCUGUGUAGCUUCUUGAAGAUAUGCUUCAUCGUUUCGCCGUGAGAUUCUUCGGUUUGGUGAGGGGAAGUAGUGAAAAGUGACGACGGAGGACUUGGCCGGCGAUGAAAUAGAGAGGGAAUCGAAUUACGAUUAUGCCACUGUGUUGACCUUGUUUGUUUUAUUAUCCAAUGGCGAUGAAGCGAAAGAGGGAAUGUGACACGUGGCAUGCGGAUCCACACGCUGGAAACUUUUUACGCGGCUAAAAGGGUAAAAGUGUGAAUAAAAUGAAAUAUUUUUCUUUUAUUGUAUGUCGGAAAAAAUUCUCAUGUACUGUAUACACUUCUUCUCUAGAUGCAAAAGGGUUUCAAUCCAUAGCCAUACGAUUUGUAAGAUCACAAAAGUUUAACACCUAAAAGGUAAAACCUAGGCCUGGGCAUUUCGCCUGGAUUUAAAAAUUCGAACUCGAAUCGAACCAAUAAUACCGAACCCGAAAAUUUACAAGUAUCUAGAUGAUCAAAAAUUCUUAUACUUGGAAGAAACGAAGCUGAAAAGAACCAACACAAAUAGAUCUGAUCCGUUAAAAAUCAAUUCAUACCCGAUUUAAGAAUAUCAAUAUCUAAAAUAUGAUUUUGUAACAUUUUAAAUAAUGUAAAAAUUUAAAUAUAAAUUUAGAGAUUAAAGUUUCAAUUAGUAACAGUUUUUUUUUGUUAUUUUGCAAAAUUUAAAAUAAAUAUGACAAACUUUAGCUAAAUUUGAUGCGUUAUUUAUUUAUGAAGACAUUUUUACUAUAUGGUUCAAUAUUGUACACAUUCCAUCUUUGAUCGGAUGUAUCUAUUGUUUGGGGAGGAGUUUGAGGUGGUUUUGGUAAUCAAUAUCAAUGUUUUAAUUAAAAAGGUGGAACUAUUUUCUUAAGUUUUUGAGUAACUAGCAUGUAUUUUGGUGUGUAAUAUUUGUUUUUAUAGGUUUCAGUUUAAACUUCACUCCUGUAGUGGCUACAUUUGCUAAUUACUCCAAAGAGUAAAACAGUUAUCACCAUUAUAAGCAAUGACAGCAUAAAUAAAUAAAUGAAUUUUAAUUAUUUAUUUUCUUAUUUUUAGUAAAAUAGAAUUCUCUCCAACCACAUGUAUUUUUUCAAAUGGAUUUUGAUCAUUUACAGGCUGCCAAGAUUCUUCCUGCAUAUGAAGAUUUUCAGAUCGAUCAUAAACAAAAUAACUGAUAACCAGGUUUGAGUGUGGAUGAUUAUAAGACAUGUGGGGACAGGGCUCUACGUACUCGGAAUCAUAAGGUAUAUCAAAUGGAUUUUGAUCAUUUACAGGCUGCCAAGAUUCUUCCUGCAUAUGAAGAUUUAGAUCAAUCAUAAACAAAAUAACUGAUAACCGUUUGAGUGUGGAUGAUUUAUAAACAUCUAAGAGAAAAAUGCAAAGAAAAAGUGGAACCAUGUAAGGGGAGUAUGCAAAAUUCCAUAUUCCAUAUUGGGAAAUUAAGAAGAGUAAUUAACUUUUCACUUAAUCAGGUAUAGAAGAAGGCUUCGAGGACACUAAAGAUCAAUAACAUUUCCUAUCAGGGGCGAAGGCAGGUUAUGAGUAGAGAGUGCAUGUGCAUCCAUAGAAAUAAUAAAAUUUAAAAUUUUAAGCUUAAAACAAGUAGAAUUUGACAGGUAAAAUGGUAAAAGGCAAGUUGUGCACCCACGCUAACUCAAGUUCGAUUAUCUUCUAUGUUUUUUUUAUUAAUAGUGCACCCAUGCCAAGUAUCUUCUGGCUUCGCCCCUGUUUCCUAUUACCUAAGCUCAAGUCAAAGAGUAACAACGAAGCUCAUCAGUUGCGAACUCAGUAGAGAGAAGAAAGAUAAAAUACUUUCAAGGUUAUUGCAGCGACGACUUGGUGGGAGCUUUAGAAGUCCACGAAUGAUUUUCUCGUUUCGUUCUUCUUCUCUUUUACUUCCCAUUUCUCCAACCAACAACCAAAAAAAUGGAAUACAUACAAAUUGAAUAGUGGCAGUUAGAAAGAAAAAAACAUGAAUGGUAGUUUUUUUUUUUGCAGGAAUGUAGUGAAAUGAAAAUAUAUUUAGUAUAUGUAAGCAAAAGUUAUUAUUUUAUAUAAUUUUUAAUUUAUUUUUAUUUUUUGUUUCUGCUUUUUUUUACUUAGAUCAUUACAUUGCUUUCAUAUAUUCAAUUGGAAUUAGUGGAAUACAUUUUAUUUUUCAUUCCAAUCAAAUUGUAAUAUUUUUGUGGAAUCUUCAUGAAUGUCUCAUUGCACAUAGUUUUCAAAAAUGUACAUCCAAUUGCAGCCUUAGUUUAUUCCAUUCAUUUUCAGAUUGACAUAGUCAAUAUUGAUCUUGUAAUUUCUAAAACUAUAAAUAUGAAAAAUGGUUGAUCACGUUAGUUUCGCUGACUUUGUUCUAUUUUUCUAUUUUUCACAAGUAUGAAUAAAAUAAACUAUUUUUAUCUUAUUUGUUGUGUAUAUAUAUUAAAAAUGUUAGGAAAUUUUUUUUAAAACAAAAUUACAAAUCAUUGUUUAUACUAUCUCUUAUCAGAUAUUGAGCCAUGAAGUCUUCUAUCUUCUUCGUUGUUUUUUGUGUUGUUUUGUUGCUCGUUUUGAACUAUCGUGAAGGUAUAUAUCAAUAUACUCGUUUUAUGACUAAUAAUUUGCAGGAAAUAUAAUUAUCAAUCCAAUUCUCAAUUUGCUGCAUUAUCAAAAGAAAACCUAAAUUUUUUUUUAUUACAUAAUUUUAAAUUGAAAACUCAUUUUUAUCCUUUCUCUUAUCAGAUAUCCAGCUACGAAGUUUCCUAUAUUUCUGUUUUUAUUAUUUAAUUUUGAAAAAAAAUAGUAGAGUUCAUUGAAUUACUAUUAAUCCUAAUUAAAAAUAUUAAAAUUAUAUAUUUAUAAUAAUAUUUUUAAUAAUAUAAAAAAUCUUCAUGAAAAUAAUUUUUUGAUACAUUGAAUUUCUUAAUCUUCAUAUUGACGUAGUUAACUAUGAUUUUGAAAUUUCCAAAUUUAGUGUAAAAAAUAUUAAAACAAGAUGAUCACGUUAAUUUCGUUGACAUUGCUUUAUUUUUCUAUUUUUUAAAAGUGUAAUUAAACAAACUAUUUUAUCUUAUCUAUUGUGUAUAUUUAUUAUGAGCGUUAGAAACUUUUUUUUAACAAAAAGACAAAUCAUUUUUUUUUAUGAUAUCUCUGAUCAAAUAAUAAGUCAUGAAGUCUCCUAUUUUAUUCAUUGUUUCUUGUGUUUUCACAUGAUUUUUUGUCGACUUGUUUCUUGUGUUGAUUUGUUGCUCGUUUUGAGCUAUCCAGAAGGCAUAUAUUAAUUUUUGUUUUAUGACUAAUAAUUUGCAGAAAAUAGAGUUUUUUUUUAACCAUUUGGAAAAUAGAGUUAUCAACCUGAUUUCAAUUUUCUGCAUUAUCAAAAGAAAACUAAUUUUUAUUUAUUAAAUAAAUCUUCUUUCCAUGGUUACUAUAAAACAGGAGAAGCAAUAGCUUUUCGCUACAGGUGUAACGUUACAAUGAAGGGUCGUGGAACAUGCGGAAAUAAUGGAAUACAGCGUUGUCUCAAUGAUUCCAAGGAAACCAAAUACUUUCGACUUGUUGAUCAAUGCAGUAAAUGUGAAGACUCUAAACCCCCUAAAUAUCGUACCUGCAGUUGCAGUCAACCUAACCCUUACCAAUGCAAAUAAAUUCAUAUUGGGGUCAAUUAUGCAUCCAAUAUAAAAAGAUAUAUUUUAAUUUUAUUUUCUUAGUAAUAUAUAUAUAUAUAUAUAUAAAUAAAAAAACGCAAUGUAUGCAGUGCCGGUCCGGACAUAGUUGACGCCUAAAGCGAACUAAAUGUUUUAUGCCCGUUACUUAUAAUAAUUUUUGUUUCUUUUUUAUGUAAUCAAAAUAAUCUCUUUUCAGAAUAAAAAUAAAAACUUCAAGACAUUAUUCAUGAAAAUUAAUUUUUGUUCUCUACAAUCCAUUGGUCAAUUUUUUUAAAAAAAAUUAUAACCCAUCUAAAUUACAUCAACACUAAGUUUAAUUUACAAAAAAGUGACAUGUUACAAUAAAACUGAAAAAUGCAACAAUCAAUAAACAAUAAAGGACAUAAUUUUGUUUAAACGACAAAGAAGAAUGAAGAAUCAAAUCACAUUUAACAUUUUAAUAUAAUUCAACAUAUACAAAAAUCAAAAUUGUUAAAAAAAGGGAAGAAACUAAUAUGUUUCAAAAUGCGGUUGUAUCUUGAGUUCUUGACUAAUGAUUUCACUUAUUAUCAUUAUUAAAAGAAUGUAAUAAAAUUUGAAAAAAAAAAGAAUCUGUGUGUGGCUUCGAACCUAGCACCCAUCUGGAACAAAUAGAAGUCUGAAACUAUAACACUAAAAGGAUUUACAAAAUUUUGGAGUCCUUAUAAUUUAUAUAUUCUCUGGCGCCUGAAACCUUUGCUUCAUGGGCUUUAGAACAAGGCCGGCCCUGCCCUGAAUAUACAAUAAGAAAUAACAAGACUCAAAUAAUAGUGUGUAAAGCAUAUCUUUAAUACACGACAAGAAUAGUUUUUUUUUUUCUUUUUAAAGAUGAAGCAUAAGAAGAUGAAGCAAAUAGGAAAAUGUCUAAGCAAAUGGAUUUCCUGUGCAUGGUAUAACAUAUAUCUACUCCUAUUCUGAUUCCAAUUAAAAGAUGUUAUUGUCUUCGAAUCUUAGCAUUUUCUAAUCAUAUUCUUUAACAAAAUACGUUCUCGUUAGCAUUUUCUAAUCAUUCUCUCUCAAACGCUCCAUGCAAGAAGAAAACCCACCGGUGAAGAAUCUAUUGUCACCGGCCCAGAGGUGCCAUCCUUUCCUUUCAGCUUGUUUUUCAUUUUCUUCUCUCUCCACCGUUUCUCUCCCUGUCGAUAUGUGUGUUGUUAUGAAUCUUUGGUGAUUCACCGAAAGCUUAACGUCAAAGGUGACUCUUUCCGAGGGCUUGGAGGAAUACGAGACUGACUGCGGAGCAGCGGUAGUGAUGGAGGUUGGCUUUUAGAGCUAAAGUGUGACUCCAGAUCUUAUUCCCCCCCCCGGCGAUCCCUCCACGACGACGGCGGUGCGUGACUCAGUGGAGCACCUUCUCCAACGUGGAUAUCCCCUCCCUAACGACGCGAACGUGGUGGUGGAAAAUGGUCCUUUCCUCGGUUCUCGGGGAAGGCAUGUCGCAAAGGCUUCAAGUCGUCGGAGUUGUCAACCGGUGGGAGGAGCUUUGUAGUAGGUAUGUGGUGGCUCUUUUGUCUCGUCGGCGGUACAGACCCACAUUUUUGGACGCCAUGUCUGCUGAGACGGGUCCAUUGCUGUUGCUGGUUGGUCAAGGCUCGCUUUUUUCAGUACGGAAUAGUUCCAUUGCAGUGAGGCAUUAGAGCUCUAUGACGAUUGGUCAAGUUGGGAUUGCACCGUUCGGUGAAGAAGCUUUGGUCCGAAAGCUGAACUCUCAUUAUAUGGCGAAUAUUGCUCAUAUUAAAAUGUUUUUUCCUUACUAGAACUAGUUACUCUUGGGUGUUAGUGUUUAUUCACUUUCUAUGGUUGAAUUUAGGUGGUUGUAAGUACUUUUUGGGUCUAAAUUUCUUUUACCCGAAAGAACCAAAACCAAAAAGAACCGAUUUGAAUAGACCCGAAAAUAACCGAUCCGAAUAGAUCCGACCUGAUAAGAAGCGAUUUGUACCCGACUUAUAAACAUGUAUAUCUAACACUAUGAUUUUUUGUGUUUUAUUUUAUAUAUUAUUUUAUGAUUUAGUUAAAAUAUCUUUUGUUAACAACAUUUGUUAUUAUUUUGUAACAUUUUAAGUGAUACGAAACUUUAAAAUAUAAAAUUUAGAGUUUAGAAAUAUUUUAUUUUAAUUAUUAAUAGUUUCAUUUAAGUUAUUUUGUAUAAUUUUAGAUAUAUAUAUAUAUAUAAGACAAAUAUCAACUAAAUUUGAUGGAGUUGGGUAUGUCAUGUCCUUUUCAGAUUCUAAGAAUCUGAGAAUCUGAAAAUUGUUUCUACAUAACCCGAGAAAAAUAGUCAAGGCAAAACCUUUUUAACAGGUAUUAAAAAUUGUUUCUCCAUCACCUCCUCCCAUGUAUGUUCCUCUUGCAACUCCCCCACUCCAAGAAGCUAUGUUUCUUCUUUAGUGGUUGUUCUUGUAGUUGCUGGCUGCGUAAGCGCUUUUGUUCAUUAACUCCUUGUAGGUAUCGGUGUGUUCCAUUUCAGAAGUAAAGUGGAAAAUCAGUGAAUCCCUGCGUCUUAUCGGACAACUUCAGAAAUUAGAACACACACCACUCUUGAGGUAUUAAGUAAGAAGAAACAAAUCGAAGUUAUAUUAAUCAAACUUUCAGUAGUUGGGAUUUCAUGUUAUCACAGGAUCAAAGAUCAUACGUACCUUGGUCUACAAAGGCUUAUAAAACUUUUGAUAUUUUGCUUCUGGAGCUGUCAUCUCCUCGUAAAACUUUGAUUACAAAGGCUUAUAUCUUGUCAAAUUCCAGUUUCAGAGACCCGAGCUCAUUGAUUACAGUGCGAGACCUCUGGUGUACAAAGAAGUCCAAUUUUGAGAAUAUGACUAUGCCUGGUGACGACACUAAAAGAAUCACUUGAAGAGGUUAAAAAUAGAAAUACCUGACCUCCCUACUCCCAAACCUUGCUUGUGGAAGCUAUGCCUGCUAAUCUUGGUGGAAAGGAUUUUGUCUCAGAAAUCAAACUGCCAAAGAAGAACAAAACUUGAAACUCUUUCAUGAAAUUUCCAAAUACAAAAUCUGAAAAGAACAGAAUGAUCAUGUUUUUCCUCACGUCUAUUUAAGAAGCAUGAUAUAAAAAGUCUACAACAUUUUUCUCUCCAGGUGGCGGUACUCACAGCUGUAAACCCUUUACCACUAGAGCUAGAAGCUCCGGUUGCCUGAGCUAUAUUCAAACAUGUAAUCAAGGAGAACAAAAAGAAAACUGAUGAUGCUUAAUCUUCUCAGAACUCUUAACAGGCCAAAAGAAUCGUACAUGUUUCUCUAUAAGAUCAUUCAACGAACAUCAAAACGAAAUCAGAUCCUAGAAAUCGAGAGUGAACCUGACGACGAAGAGGAAUACAAAUUAUAAAUUGAAGUAACAAUAACAAUUGAAAAAGAUUGAAAACGAAAAAUCUGGAUUGAAAUAAUUUAUUAUCUGCCUUGGUGAAUGUAAGGACGAUGGUUGAGCUUCUGAAGCAAUAAAUUAGAGUUGUUCUUAAGCGUCGCAAACGACCGAGAAAAGAGUAGUGGGCUUUUAUGAUAUGUUAUAUUAAUGUUUUUAAAAAUAAAAAAAAACCAGAGCGUAGGUCCCUCAUAUUGCCGACGUGGAUGCCUUUAGGAAUGAGCAAAAACUGAUAUAUUAUAAUAUACUAGAUUUGGAUCCGUACAUUGCAACAAGCUUUAUUUAAUAUUUUAAUUUAAUACAAAAUAUUAAAAAAUCGUUUUAUUAUUGUUUUAAAAUUGUUUUGCAUAUGUUAUGUAAAAUUUAUUUUAUAGUUAAAAACUCUUUUUCAUACAUAAGUUUCAGUUAAUAUUUGUUAGAGCUAGAAAAAACAUUCAAACGUAAAAAUUUAAACCGGAUUUAAUCCGAAAUAAUAAUUAUAAUGAAAUAAAAAAAGAAUUUGGAAGUUAAAUAAGGCCAAGAAGCAAUGACAACAUUAUACACUUUCUUAUGUACUAAUUUAACGUUUUAUUAAACUAAUCUGAUGUUAAAUAAUUUUCUUGAUUUAUUACUUAUUAAUGAUAUAUUUUAGUAAUAACAUUUUAAUUAAAAUGAAUUAUAAUAAACUACUACAUAGUAAAAAUAAAAAAAUGUAAUAAGAUAACGAUUAAGCUUGAUUUGUUUUUGACUAAACAUAUGUACGAUGACAAUAAUAAUAACCAAUUUUUAUGAGUAAACAUGAGAAUAUAUAUAUAUCAAACGUGUCUUUAAUUUUCGUAUAACCAAACACAUAAAUACCAAUCACGACAACAUCCUAAGUUUUGAUUUUUGUUAAUUUAAUAGCUUUAGAAACUUACUUGUCAUAAAAUUCUUUUUUAAAAAUAUUAUUAAAUAGGUAUAUUUACUUUUGUUAGGAUUUUUUAAAAAGGAUUUUUUUUUUUUUGCAAAUUUCGUUUUUAUUUACAAUUAAAAAAAAAAAGAAAAACAAUCAAAAACUUUUUUAUGUUUUUGUUUACGAUUUUAAAAAAGGAAAAGUAUCUUAUUAUAUAAACUUUUACAAUUAUCUUAUGUUUAGAAUUUCAGAAAAAUCUUAUUGCUAUCAAAUAGUUAUUUCUAGUUACUAUUAAAUAAUUUUAAAAUUAUGAUUUUUACAGUUCAUAUCAAUACUUUUUUUACAGUUCAUUUUUAAUCAAAUAAUUUUUGGUAUUAUGUUCAUCAUCAAAUUUUCUCUUAAAAUAUACUAUCAAAUAACCUCUUACAAUUUUCUUUUGGUCAUGAAUUAAAAAAUAUGAUACAAAUCUCUUUUGUUUAGGAUUUUCUUUUUUAAGGAAAAGAACUAUCAAAUAUUUUUUACAGUUUUAGGGUGUUAGAAAAGAAAAUUAAAAUUACAUAAUAAUUUAUAAUUUUUUUCUACGAUUUAGAAAAUCAAAACACUAUCAAAUAAUUAUUUCCAGCAAAUAUUAACUAUUUUAAAAAGUUGUUCUUUUCAAAAUUCGUUUUCUCAAUAUCACUAAUAUUUUUAAUUAAAUAUUUUCAAUAUCACAUUUAUCAUUAAAUUUUAAGAGUCCUUUUACAUUUUUAUUUUCUUAGGUUUUAAAAAGGGAAUAUCACUUAUUUUGUAGUUAGUUUUUCUAUUUGAUUUUUAUUAAAUAAUUUCUUGUACUUGUAAGAUUUUAUAAUUAGUUUUUAUUUAAGAUUUUGUUUUUAAAAAUUUAAUAUUUUCUUUUAUAAUAUCUUUCUUUAGUAUCUUUAAAGAUGAAAAAUAUAAAAAAUAUUUUAAAAAGAAAAAAAAACUUCCAAAUAGCUUUUUACAAUCAUUCUUUGUUUAAGCGAUUUGUACCCGACUUAUAAACAUGUAUAUCUAACACUAUGAUUUUUUGUGUUUUAUUUUAUAUAUUAUUUUAUGAUUUAGUUAAAAUAUCUUUUGUUAACAACAUUUGUUAUUAUUUUGUAACAUUUUAAGUGAUACGAAACUUUAAAAUAUAAAAUUUAGAGUUUAGAAAUAUUUUAUUUUAAUUAUUAAUAGUUUCAUUUAAGUUAUUUUGUAUAAUUUUAGAUAUAUAUAUAUAUAUAAGACAAAUAUCAACUAAAUUUGAUGGAGUUGGGUAUGUCAUGUCCUUUUCAGAUUCUAAGAAUCUGAGAAUCUGAAAAUUGUUUCUACAUAACCCGAGAAAAAUAGUCAAGGCAAAACCUUUUUAACAGGUAUUAAAAAUUGUUUCUCCAUCACCUCCUCCCAUGUAUGUUCCUCUUGCAACUCCCCCACUCCAAGAAGCUAUGUUUCUUCUUUAGUGGUUGUUCUUGUAGUUGCUGGCUGCGUAAGCGCUUUUGUUCAUUAACUCCUUGUAGGUAUCGGUGUGUUCCAUUUCAGAAGUAAAGUGGAAAAUCAGUGAAUCCCUGCGUCUUAUCGGACAACUUCAGAAAUUAGAACACACACCACUCUUGAGGUAUUAAGUAAGAAGAAACAAAUCGAAGUUAUAUUAAUCAAACUUUCAGUAGUUGGGAUUUCAUGUUAUCACAGGAUCAAAGAUCAUACGUACCUUGGUCUACAAAGGCUUAUAAAACUUUUGAUAUUUUGCUUCUGGAGCUGUCAUCUCCUCGUAAAACUUUGAUUACAAAGGCUUAUAUCUUGUCAAAUUCCAGUUUCAGAGACCCGAGCUCAUUGAUUACAGUGCGAGACCUCUGGUGUACAAAGAAGUCCAAUUUUGAGAAUAUGACUAUGCCUGGUGACGACACUAAAAGAAUCACUUGAAGAGGUUAAAAAUAGAAAUACCUGACCUCCCUACUCCCAAACCUUGCUUGUGGAAGCUAUGCCUGCUAAUCUUGGUGGAAAGGAUUUUGUCUCAGAAAUCAAACUGCCAAAGAAGAACAAAACUUGAAACUCUUUCAUGAAAUUUCCAAAUACAAAAUCUGAAAAGAACAGAAUGAUCAUGUUUUUCCUCACGUCUAUUUAAGAAGCAUGAUAUAAAAAGUCUACAACAUUUUUCUCUCCAGGUGGCGGUACUCACAGCUGUAAACCCUUUACCACUAGAGCUAGAAGCUCCGGUUGCCUGAGCUAUAUUCAAACAUGUAAUCAAGGAGAACAAAAAGAAAACUGAUGAUGCUUAAUCUUCUCAGAACUCUUAACAGGCCAAAAGAAUCGUACAUGUUUCUCUAUAAGAUCAUUCAACGAACAUCAAAACGAAAUCAGAUCCUAGAAAUCGAGAGUGAACCUGACGACGAAGAGGAAUACAAAUUAUAAAUUGAAGUAACAAUAACAAUUGAAAAAGAUUGAAAACGAAAAAUCUGGAUUGAAAUAAUUUAUUAUCUGCCUUGGUGAAUGUAAGGACGAUGGUUGAGCUUCUGAAGCAAUAAAUUAGAGUUGUUCUUAAGCGUCGCAAACGACCGAGAAAAGAGUAGUGGGCUUUUAUGAUAUGUUAUAUUAAUGUUUUUAAAAAUAAAAAAAAACCAGAGCGUAGGUCCCUCAUAUUGCCGACGUGGAUGCCUUUAGGAAUGAGCAAAAACUGAUAUAUUAUAAUAUACUAGAUUUGGAUCCGUACAUUGCAACAAGCUUUAUUUAAUAUUUUAAUUUAAUACAAAAUAUUAAAAAAUCGUUUUAUUAUUGUUUUAAAAUUGUUUUGCAUAUGUUAUGUAAAAUUUAUUUUAUAGUUAAAAACUCUUUUUCAUACAUAAGUUUCAGUUAAUAUUUGUUAGAGCUAGAAAAAACAUUCAAACGUAAAAAUUUAAACCGGAUUUAAUCCGAAAUAAUAAUUAUAAUGAAAUAAAAAAAGAAUUUGGAAGUUAAAUAAGGCCAAGAAGCAAUGACAACAUUAUACACUUUCUUAUGUACUAAUUUAACGUUUUAUUAAACUAAUCUGAUGUUAAAUAAUUUUCUUGAUUUAUUACUUAUUAAUGAUAUAUUUUAGUAAUAACAUUUUAAUUAAAAUGAAUUAUAAUAAACUACUACAUAGUAAAAAUAAAAAAAUGUAAUAAGAUAACGAUUAAGCUUGAUUUGUUUUUGACUAAACAUAUGUACGAUGACAAUAAUAAUAACCAAUUUUUAUGAGUAAACAUGAGAAUAUAUAUAUAUCAAACGUGUCUUUAAUUUUCGUAUAACCAAACACAUAAAUACCAAUCACGACAACAUCCUAAGUUUUGAUUUUUGUUAAUUUAAUAGCUUUAGAAACUUACUUGUCAUAAAAUUCUUUUUUAAAAAUAUUAUUAAAUAGGUAUAUUUACUUUUGUUAGGAUUUUUUAAAAAGGAUUUUUUUUUUUUUGCAAAUUUCGUUUUUAUUUACAAUUAAAAAAAAAAAGAAAAACAAUCAAAAACUUUUUUAUGUUUUUGUUUACGAUUUUAAAAAAGGAAAAGUAUCUUAUUAUAUAAACUUUUACAAUUAUCUUAUGUUUAGAAUUUCAGAAAAAUCUUAUUGCUAUCAAAUAGUUAUUUCUAGUUACUAUUAAAUAAUUUUAAAAUUAUGAUUUUUACAGUUCAUAUCAAUACUUUUUUUACAGUUCAUUUUUAAUCAAAUAAUUUUUGGUAUUAUGUUCAUCAUCAAAUUUUCUCUUAAAAUAUACUAUCAAAUAACCUCUUACAAUUUUCUUUUGGUCAUGAAUUAAAAAAUAUGAUACAAAUCUCUUUUGUUUAGGAUUUUCUUUUUUAAGGAAAAGAACUAUCAAAUAUUUUUUACAGUUUUAGGGUGUUAGAAAAGAAAAUUAAAAUUACAUAAUAAUUUAUAAUUUUUUUCUACGAUUUAGAAAAUCAAAACACUAUCAAAUAAUUAUUUCCAGCAAAUAUUAACUAUUUUAAAAAGUUGUUCUUUUCAAAAUUCGUUUUCUCAAUAUCACUAAUAUUUUUAAUUAAAUAUUUUCAAUAUCACAUUUAUCAUUAAAUUUUAAGAGUCCUUUUACAUUUUUAUUUUCUUAGGUUUUAAAAAGGGAAUAUCACUUAUUUUGUAGUUAGUUUUUCUAUUUGAUUUUUAUUAAAUAAUUUCUUGUACUUGUAAGAUUUUAUAAUUAGUUUUUAUUUAAGAUUUUGUUUUUAAAAAUUUAAUAUUUUCUUUUAUAAUAUCUUUCUUUAGUAUCUUUAAAGAUGAAAAAUAUAAAAAAUAUUUUAAAAAGAAAAAAAAACUUCCAAAUAGCUUUUUACAAUCAUUCUUUGUUUAUAGAAUUUUCAAAAUUAAAUUUACUAUCAAAUAUUUUUAAAAGACUAUAAAAGAACCAUGAAAAUAUAAUUGUUAAAGGCUAUGUAAUAGUAAUUUUCCUUUUCUAAACUCCUAAAAAUAACAAUAAACUAUUUUGGGUAAUAAUUUUCCUUUUCUAGUGUCCGAAAAAUGUAAUAAUAAAUUUCAAUCUUUUUAAUUCCUUAUAAAAGAGAAUUAUAACAUAUUUUUGACACAUGUCACAAUCUUAAUAAAUUAAUUGACACAUGUCGCGAUCAUGUUAAUUAGCAACUUUGAAAAACCAAGCAAUUUUUACUUCAAUAAUUUAAUGAUAAACAUGAUAGUAACAAUUAUUCAAUUAACAAGAAAAAUUGUAACAAUAUUAAUGAUAUUGAAAAAAAGAAAAUUUUGAAAAUUGCAACUUUUAAAAUAUUUAAUAUUAACUGGAAAUAGUUAUUUGAUAUAAAUUCUAUUUUUUUAAAUCCUAGACAAAAUAUAAUUGUAAAAUAUUAUGUAAUAUUAUUUUUAUUUUCUAAAAUCAUACAAAACUGUAAAAGAAUAUUUGAUAGAUGUUUUCCUCUUUUAUAAAAAAAAAUCCUGAACAAAAGAAAUUUGUAUAAUACUUUUUAGUCCUAACGAAAAGAGAAUUGUAAACAUAUAUAUGAUAUUAUUUUUAAGAGAGUGUUUGAUGAUGAGCAUGAUAGAAUUUUAAGAGAGCUUUAUUUGAUAUUUUAUUUUAAAAAAAAAUAUUAAAAAUCAUUUUAUUAUUGUUUUUAAAUUAUUUUGCAUAUAUUAUGUGAACUUUAUUUUAUAAUUAAGAACUCUUUUUUACACAUAAGUUUCAGUUAAUAUUUGUUAGAGCUAGAAAAAACAUUCAAACGUAAAAAUUUAAACAGGAUCCAACCCGAAAUAAUAAUUAUAAUGAAAUAAAAAGGAAUUUGGAAGUUAAAUAAGGCCAAGAAGAAAUAACAACCUUAUACACUUUCUUAUGUACUAAUUUAAUGUUUUAUUAAACUUAUCUGAUGUUAAAUAAUUUUCUGGAUUCAUUAUUUAUUAAUGAUAUAUUUUCAUAAUAAUAUUUUAAUUAAAAUAAAUAAUAAACUACUACAUAGUAAAAUAAAAAAUGUAAUAAGAUAACGAUGAAGCUUGAUUUGUUUUGACUAAACAUAUGUACGGUGACAGUAAUAAUAAUCAAUUUUUAUGAGCAAACAUGAGAAUAUAUAUAUCAAACAUGUGUUUGACUGUCGUAUAACCAAACACAUAAAUACCAAUCACGAUAACAUUCUAAGUUUUGGUUUUUGUAAAUUUAAUAGCUUUAACAUCAUACUUGUCAUCUAUUUUUUUUUCUAAAAUACUAUUAAAUAUGUAUGUUUACUUUUGUUGGGAUUUUUUUUUUAAAGGAAAAAAAUUAUAUUUUACAAAUCUUGUUUUUGUUUACAAUUAAAAAAAAGAAAAACUAUCAAAAACUUUUUAUAUUUUUGUUUACGAUUUUAGAAAAGGAAAAGUAUUAUCAAAUAAACUUUUACAAUUAUCUUCUGUUUAGAAUUUCAGAAAAAUCUUAUUGCUAUCAAAUAAUUAUUUCUAGUUACUAUUAAAUAAUUUUAAAAGUAUGAUUUUUACAGCUCAUAUCAAUACUAUUUUUACACUUCAUUUUUGAUUAAAUAAUUUUUAGUAUCAUGUUCUUCAUCAAAUUUUCUUUUAAAAUAUACUAUCAAAUAACUUCUUACAAUUUUUUUUGGUUAGGAAUUAAAAAAUAUGAUACAAAUCUCUUUUGUUUAGGAUUUUCUUUUUUAAGUUAAAGAAUGAUCAAAUUUUUUUUUUUUACAGUUUUAGGGUGUUAGAAAAGAAAAUUAACAAUACAUAAUCUUUUAUAAUUAUUUUUUUCUAGGAGUUAGAAAAAUAAAAAUACUAUCAAAUAAUUAUUUCCAGCAAAUAUUAACUAUUUUAAAAAGUUGCUAUUUUCAAAAUUCGUUUUCUCAAUAUUACUAAUAUUUUUAAUUAAAUAUUUUCAGUAUCAUAUUUAUCAUUAAAUUUUAAAAGUAAAAAUUACUUUUACAAUUCUAUUUGGUCAGAAUUUAAAAGGAAACAAUCUUAUUUGGUUAAGAUUAAAGGGAAAAUUACAUGUUUACCACUUUCAUGGUACCACUUUUCAUUUUUACCACCACUAAGAAGACAUUUUCAAAAAUAUCUUCUUCAUUAAGUGGCAAAUGACUCUUAUGCCAUUGUUAUUUAUAUAUAUAUAAUAAAUCAUUAUUUAAAUAAAAAAUAAAAAAAAAAAGUAAAAAAAAAUUAUGUUUUCGAAUUAUACUUUUUCAAAUUCGAACUUUUUUAUAAAUUUUUUUUUUUGAAAUUGUUUUUUUCGAUUUUUUUUUUCAAAUUUCUUUUUGAAAAACGAAAAUAAAUUUCAAUCUUUUUAAUUCCUUAUAAAAGAGAAUUAUAACAUAUUUUUGACACAUGUCACAAUCUUAAUAAAUUAAUUGACACAUGUCGCGAUCAUGUUAAUUAGCAACUUUGAAAAAUCAAGCUUUAUAUAAUAAGAUAGAUUGUUUGAGCAAAUGAUGUCUCUUUCUUUAAUGCAUCCUCUUACACCAAUUUUAAUUUUUGAAUGAUACAUUUUUUUUGUAAACUUAAUAAUAGGUACACCCUUUCACAUGUUAUUUUUAAGUUUGAACAAAGCACCAUUUUAAUUGAUUGAUACAACUCUUUGAACAAAGGACUGGUAUUUCUCUCACACAUCUUUUUACAUGUUUUUUAGAAAGAAAAGAAUUUACUGUAUAAUCAAAAUAUAUAAUUUUACUAUUUCAGUCUCACUUUCUUGUCUCUUCUUGCUCUCUCAUUUUUAUUAUUAUCAUUUAUCAAUACCUCUUUGACGUGCAAGGAGUAGGUGAGGGUUUUGUUCUAGUUAUAGUGGAGUUGUUGUUUCUUCUUACGUGCAGCAAUUCUAAGCCAUAACAAGUUUAUUUUUUUAAUAAAGACUUUUCUAUUGAGCCAUAACAAGUUUAUUUAUAUAUAUUCAUAUUGAGCUGGGUUGUUGAUAGAGCAGAAGAAAAAGAUGUCUAAGCUUAUGCAAAAUCCAGUGUUCCACGAAUUGAAGAAGCAAGCUUCUUUCUUCAUCAAAGAGAAGAUCAAGACUGCUCGUCUCGCCGUAACUGAUGUUACUGAAGAAGAGUUGUAAGAAUUUUUAUGAUCGAUAUGUACAUAUGGCUUAUCAUCAAUCGAUUGUGAUUUAACCAUGCGCUCUGGAUUUAUUCAAUUUUGAAGAUUAACAGAAGAAGUUACGGGCAGUGCGCUCUCGUUAAUAGACGCUCGCUCCAUGGCGGUCAUAACAAAAGCUUCUUUUGAAGUUGAUCAGUUCCAAAGAAUCGUAAAGAUUCUACGUCAAAGGUUACUAUUCUUGCUUCGCUAUGACUUAUACAAAAUAAACAUUCCACCAAGUAGAACAAAUUUAUGAUGUUGGCGUUUUAAUUAUAAACUUCAUAUAUUGUUAUUUUUAAUAUGGUCGUAUUUAUAACAUAGUUUUUCUCCGAACCAACUACAUUAAGCAUAUAAAUUAUAUGAAUUUAUUUUUUUAUUCUACACAAUUUUGUUCCAUUAAUUAUACUAGUAAUGAUGACGAUUUAGAUCCAUUGUAAUUCAUCAAAAUAUAACAUGUUUUUCAAGAAAACUAUAUAUUAAUUCAUUAAAAAUAUGGUUACCAGUUAGUGAAUUGGUAUUUUUUCCAGAAUGUUAAUGUUUGAUAGAAGAGAAUGGCGUGGGAUGUACAACACUUUGACAAUGUUGAACCACUUGUUAAUCAACGGACCACUAAGUGUAUUCAAGGAGUUUCAACACGAGAAAGAAAUUAUUGAAGAUGUCAUAACGAUUGAGUGGAUCGAUGAAAAAGGGUUCGAAUGUGGUCUAAAAGUUCGAAACAUAGCCGAAGAGGUACUAAAGUUGCUUGAAGAUGAGACGUUUUGCAAGGACGAGAGAGAAAGAAAGCGUAAGCAAAGCUUUGGUCGGAUCACAGGAUUCGGAAGCUCGAGUUUCGUUAUACAUUCUGAAACUCUGUCUGAAACAAACAAAGGACGAGACAGCUCGUUCUUGAGUGACCACCAAACUUGUGAAAAUGAUUGUAACGUUGAUGAUCAUCCUUUCGUGGAGAAAGAACACAAUAAUACUGCUAAACUCUUGGUUUCUUCUUCGACCUAGCUAAGAUGUAUUGUUCUUGUUUGUAUAAUAGUAAAAUCCCUAAUAGUAAGCAUAUAAACGUUUGUUGAUAAUGAUAUGCUUAUUCAUAUAUAUAAGCAUGCAGAUACAAGUUUUCAUUGAUAUGCCUUAUGUAGUCAUAUAGAAACAAGUUUUUCAAUGAGCGUGAUUUUAUCAACUUAGUUUGGACUUUGGAUUCUGAUUACAUAGUUGUCGAUGAAAUAAUCUUCACUGCAAAUACUAAGAUCGAAAUAUUUUUAUAUUUAAUUUUGAAUGACAACCUCAUCUGUAAAAAAAAAAUUAGUUGAAAUACUAUGCUACUAUAUAAACAUGAUUUAUAAAAUAUAAACAAGUGUUUCAUUGAUAUGCCUUACGUAGUCAUAUGGAAACAAGUUUUUUCAAUGUGUGAUUUUAUCAUAGUUGGGACUUUGGAUUUUGAUUGUAUAGUUUGUUCAUGAAGUUAAAUAGUCUUCACUGCAAAGACUAAUACCAAAAUAUUUUGUUUUAUUUUAUAGUUUUGAAUGACAUCUCCUUGUUUAAUUAUUUGGAUGAAAUAACAAUGCUACCAUAUAAACAUGAUUUACACCCUCAAAUCCAAAAUGCAUAUAAUUGAAUUAAUAGUGGUUUUUUUCUUCUUAUAUCAAAAAUUCACUAGGAGUUCUCCUGCUCCAUGCGCAGAUAUAAAAUAUUUAAAAAUAUUAUAUAUAAAUUAGGGCUGGGCAAAUAAACCGAAUACGAAAACCCGAACCGAACCCGAUCCGAUAAAAAUGAAUCCGAACCGAUCCGAACCCAGCAUAAAUACCGAAUGGAUCUUGUUUUACGGUAUUUCGGGUUAUGAGUAUUAUCCGAACCGAACCCGAACUUAAAUGGAUACCCGAUAGAACCCCGAAACAUUCAAAAUUUCCAAAAAUCACUUGUACCAAACAUGAUCUCAUUUCCUAAUAUAUAUUCAAAAUAUAUUGAACAUCUAAAAUAAUUAUCUAUUAUAUGAAAAUUGGUGGUUGAAGGUGGCGGUUGAAGUUUUUAUAUUUUGGUUUUGUUUUCAUUGAAUAAUGUUUCUUUCCAUGAGAACUUGGUUUUCGUUUUAUGUUUUUAUUUAUUUGGUUUUCUUUCGAUCAAUAACUAUGUUUACCUUUCACUUGAUUUUGAAUGAUCACAUUUGAUGUUGCUUUGUUUUUUUUGAACCGGUUUUAUUUAUGUUUUGGUUACAAAAUAGGUACAAAUCAAGUAUUUUAAAACCGAAGAACCGAUUUUACUUACUUUUUGGUUACAAAAUAGAUAUAAAUCAGGUACAUUUAAACCGAAGAAUCGAUUGGGACCCGAACCCGAAAGUACAUCGGGUUAUACCGGUUCUUUGAAGAUUUACUAACCCCGGCCCGAACCCGAUAGAACCCGAACCGGUCCCGAACCGAAUUUUCAUAUAACCCGAAUGGAACUGAUUUUGAUGAACCCGAAAAAUCGAAACCCGAUUGGACUAAACCGAAACCCGAUUGGGAUCCCAAAUGCCCAUGCCUAACUACACUUAUUUAAUAAUAAAAAUAUUAUUCAUAUAUUGAUGUAAAAUUUUAAUAUUCGUAAUUAUUAUUUAUAUAUAUAAAUAUAUAUUUUUAAUAGAAAUAGAAAAGUUUUAAUAGAUAUAGAAAAAUUAUUAGGUAUCAUAAAAUCUUACCAAAAUGAAUAUUUACUGAAAAAAAAUAUUUUGGAUAUAAAAUUUAUUAGUUAUUACUAUAUUAUGAAACUUUUCCAAAAAUAUAAAUCCGUAUAUAGAAAAUCAUCAUCAUUAUAUUUAAGAAAUAUUACCAAAAACAUAAAUCUAAAUAUAAUAAAUUUUACAUGUCACAAUUAGAUUUAUGUCAUGUCAUAUUUCUUUUAUGCCAUGUCAUCAUUUGUUUGUGAAAGUUAAUGUAGUGAUGACACAUAUACAAAUCACUUUUCAAAAAUAUAGUCAUGGAGAUUUUUAUAUGAUUAAAUAAGACACUCAGAUUAAUUUAAUUGAACCGACUCCGGUUAUUCUAUGAUCGAUCAUACGAGGAGCUCACGUGAUCUCACGAGACGCUCACGUGAUAUAUUGUUUGGCGCGACGCUGGCUUUUUAGUCCUCCUCAGAUCAGAUCUCGCGACGGCGUCGUAUCAAGCGCGUUGAUGGUAGAAAGAGAAUGAGAUCUCAUCAUCACCAAGGCGGCCGCAGUAAGCUAACGAUUCUCCAACUUCUAUGCGCCGUCGCAGUUUUCUCCGUUCUCCUCUUCACCAUCCAAUCUUCCUUCUUCUCAGGUCAUCCAUCUUAAUAAUAGCAUUACACUUGUUCAUCUCCUAACUAUUACUGAUUCUCUUCAUCUCGCAGAUAAUGCUAAUCGCAAAGUAAACAUUCUCCGCCCGGAAGAUAUUCAGAUCUUAUCGGAGUUUCAGUCCAGCGUUCAACAGUGCGUGGUUUGUCUCCUCUCUCUCUCUACCUCUUUGAUUGCUAAGGUUAUAGAUUCGUAAUUUGGAUUUAGAUCGAUCCCAUUGCGUAAGAGACGGCGUUUGCUAUAACGAAGUUUGAUUUUGAUGUAUUGGUAAUGUAUGAGUAGCAGCACAAUGAGCAUUUUGAAAUCUGGUGAAGCGAGAAAGGUUGUGGAAGCUAACAAACAACUAUACUGAUCUGCUUUCUCUUGAAUUAAAGCUAAUUUAUGAUAGAAUCAUGUUUUGUAAGUGAAGAUUAAUGCUAAAUCUAAUGAGCAUUUCAAGUCUGGAGAAGUGAAGCAUUGUGGAAGCUAACUUCUAUUUGCUUUCUCUUGAUGUCAAAUAAAGCUAAUGUGAUAAGAAUCAUGUUUUUUGAAGUCAAUAAGGAAUGUUAUUUUACGAGCUAUGACAGACUAAUUUUGUUACCAUUCUUACUCUUUCCAGCUUUGAUUUGUGUUGGAGGAACCUAGUUUAUGGGAUUCUGGUGAAAUAGUUUAGUUUGGAAGCUCGCAUGUGUUGGGAGUUGGAAUAAUUGUUAAGAGUGUUUAUGCAGGGGGACAGAGGGCUUGGACUCUCUGCUCAUAUUAUUGAUCACUGCAAUUUGAUCCUCAAGUUCCCUCAAGGCACUAACAGCACUUGGGUAAUGUUUACACUUGUCUCUGGUUUCUUUUUGAGAUUUCCAUUGAUGCAAGUUUCUCACUCAUAUUCUUAUCUGUCAAUGACAGUACAAUGCACAGUUUAAAAUUUUUGAACCGUUGGAGUUCAAGUAUAAUGUUUGCGAGGCAGUUCUCCUAUGGGAGCAGGUUCGUGCUUCUUUCUUUCUCUGAUUAGCUUUUCUUGUUUGGGGACUUCUCAGGAUUCUAAUGUGUCUGAGUAAUGCAGUACCGCAAUAUGACCACAGUGUUGACAAGAGAAUACCUUGAUGUACGCCCUAAUGGAUGGUUGGACUAUGCAGCUAUGAGAAUUGCACAGCUGUAUGACCUCCCGAACGCCCUGUCUGAUUGUUUGCUUGCGUCAUUUGUUCUUUCUUGUUGAGUUUUUUGAUAUUCCGGGUUUCAGGGGAGCUGAUAAGUGUUAUAAUCGUACAUUGUGUGAGGAGCAUCUUAAUGUGAUCCUUCCAGCAAAGCCUCCUUUCCACCCAAGACAGUUCCAUAAGUGCGCUGUUGUUGGAAAUUCCGGAGAUUUGUUGAAAACAGAUUUCGGAGAAGAGAUUGACAGCCAUGAUGCUGUAUUCCGAGAUAAUGAAGCUCCUGUCAAUGAGGUGAUAUGUCUAACAUUUCGCUGAGUUUACCGGUUGACGUUACUACGUGGUCUUCAAUUGGUGAUAUUUGGUUGCUAGCAUUGCUUAUGUUGAAGUUAUUUUAUUGCAGAAGUAUGCCAAGUAUGUAGGAGUGAAAAGGGAUUUCCGGCUAGUUGUUCGUGGUGCGGCUCGUAACAUGGUUAAGAUUCUCAAUGGGUCUGGUCAGUACUCAUAUUCUAUACUGAUAUAAUCUGCAUCUUGUGAUUCAUUUUUCUUCAAGCACUCAUUGCAGCUCUGCCCUUGUGAUGUAAUGUAACCUUCUGUAACCGUCAUUGACUGCAGACAGUGAGGUGCUUAUAAUCAAAAGUGUGACCCACCGAGACUUCAACGAAAUGAUAAAGGUAUGGUCACUGUUUUCUCUCUUCUUUUUCUUCCAACAGUUUCCACUUUCUUAUGCUGUUUUGUAUUUAUCUUGUAACAGACUAUACCAAACCCUGUUUAUCUGUUCCAAGGAAUUGUCCUACGAAGAGGUGCCAAAGGAACAGGAAUGAAGUCCAUUGAACUUGCACUGUCCAUGUGCGAUAUCGUCGACAUAUAUGGUUUCACCGUCGAUCCUGGAUACACAGAGUGGUAAGUAUUCUAAACCUCUCUUUUAUGAGAAUAAAUUCCCACGGUUUCUCACUUUUGCAUCUUUGAUAUAAAUGUAGGACGCGUUACUUCUCCACGCCAAGGAAAGGGCAUAACCCACUUCAAGGAAGAGCAUACUACCAACUUCUAGAAUGUCUUGGUGUACAUAUAACUUGCCAAAACCUUUAUCUCUAUUAUUCUCUCUAAACGUUAAGCCUUUUGUGGUCUUUCUGAAGAAAUCAUUACUUGGCAGGUUAUCCGGAUCCAUUCCCCCAUGAGGUCCGAGAGAAAGGAAGACUGGUCGAGCGUGCCAAGUCGUGAAAUGAUAACCCGAGCUCACGCCUCCGCCUUACGCCUACAAAGAAGCCAACAGGCAACUAGUUUGAAGAAGGAUGGGUUAGGACAGUUCGGUAACUGCAAGGUGUGGGGCGACGCAGACCCGAGAAAAGGACCCGUGUCGGGAUCUCCAGACAUGAGUGAGGUUAGGAAGAAGUCUGAUUACAAGAAAUGGGAAGUGAUGCCGUUUAAGAGCUUGAGAAAAGAAGCAAGGGAUCACUAUGUACAAAUGCAAGGCGUGUCACAGUACAAGAUGGAUGGGAAUAAACUUGACGAUCUUGUUUGCGUGAGGCAUCGUCCGCUAGAAUCAGAGACGUAAAAAUGUUGUUUUUUUCAAUACCAUCGUUGGCUGAUAAAGGUAGAAUGUAAUGUUUUUUUGUUGAAGCAAAGUUCUGCACGUAACAUAUCAUUACUAGUCUUGUUUUUGUUGAAGCAAGGAGUAUUGUUUCUAAAUUAAAUAGUUUCAUUAGAUAAGCAAUAACCCAUUGGUUAAUAGAUCGCUCAAGUGAAUGCUAUCGCCGAUAUUCUCCGAAGUGGAUAUAUGGUCACUGACACUGAGCCUCUCUCGUUCUUCCGCACUCCUAGGGAAUCUUUUUUUCUUCUAGUGAAAACUUUAUCAUAGGGGUAUUUUGAACUUCAAUGUUGUGUCUACCUUUUGCUUAUUACUGUUGAAUCCUAAAACAGGUAAUCUAGUUUAAGAACGUAACCAAACAAUGAAUGAGAGUUUAGAGGUCAAAUUUUUUGUUUAUUGAAGUGUUUUGAGGGUUUGCCGAAAAGGAGAUACAAAAGACUAAGAACUCGUCGUCAAUAAAUAUUUCUCUUUCGUUCCACCUUCCUCCAUCAUUACGUUUCUGCAUCAGCACAGUGAUUGGCGGGGUUGUUGGCAGUUACGUUCGGCGCCGUAAUAGGGUUUGGUGUUCUGCUUCGCCUGACUCUCAGGUCGUUCUGACGAGCAGGUGAGAUGAUGGUCUUUUUUUUUUUCAGCUGGCCUUUUCUGGGCCGUUCUUUCUUUUCAUGUCUUCGUCCGUUGUUGGAUCGAGUCGACUUUUGAGCCUGGACGGGAAUCUGGACCCAUAUCCAACAAUUACUCUUAGAGUAUUAACAAUAAUCAUGAUUCUAAUAAUAAUAUUUUUUCAAUAUACGUGAAAACAUUAAAAACUAUAUUCGUAGAAAUUUUUGUUUGAUACAUUAAAUUUCUUCAUCUUACGUAGCCAAUUAUAAUUUUGUAAUUUCUAAAAUUAGUAUAAUAUAUAUAAAAAAAUGGCUGAUUGCGUUAAUUUCGUUAAUUUAGUUGACCUCGCUCUAUUUGUCUAUUUCUCAUAAGUUUAAUAAAACAAACUAUUUUUACCUUAUCUGUUGUGUAUAUAUACUAUGAGCGUUAGAAAUACUUUUUUAACAAGAAGACAAAUCAUUGUUUAUGCUAUCUUUUAUCAGAUUUGAGCCAUGAAGUCUCAUAUUUUAUUCAUUUUUUCUUGUGUUAUUUUGUUGCUCGUUUUGAGCUAUCCAAAAGGUAUAUAUCAAUAUUUGUUUUAUGACUAACAAUUUGUGGAAUAUAUAAAUAUCAACCUCUAAUAUUCAAUUUGCUGCAUUAUCAAAAGAAAAACUAAACUUCAUUAUUUAUUAUAUAAAAAAAAAUUUCUUUGCUGAUAUAAACUGUAGAAGCAAAAGCUAACAGAUGUCACCGUACGGCCUAUUUUCCUGGAAGAUGCGAAGAUGUUGGAAGAACAAGUUGCCUCAUGGAUUUCAAGACACUGGACCCGCGUUUUGAUCAAUGUAGUAGAUGUGAGAACCAUAAGAUCAAUGGUAAACAAGAACGUCGAUGCCAUUGCAGUUUCGCUGCCAAAUCCUGCUUUUAAUUUCAUGCAGAUGUUAGCUAUGGCAUCCGGUUUAAAAGGGCAUAUUUUAAUUUUAUUUUCUUAUUGAUAUUUACAGAAAUAAAAUUUAUGAUGUUUUUUGUUAAAAAAAUUUAUUUGUGGAAAUUUUUAGUUAUGACACUUUGAAAACAUUUAUGUCUGAAUCUGACAACGUUUUGUAAAAUAAUAUGCAUUCAAACAUGAAUAUUGAUGCUUUGCUUAUGGAAUUAAACAUUUUACGAGAAUCAGUACCAGGGGAAGUUUUUCUAAAAAAAAGAGAAAAAAUAAUGCUUGGAAAAGAACUGAUUUGAUAAAUAAAUAGGAAGAUGAAAAACUGAGACAGAAGAAUUAGAAACGUAUAGAACCAUAUAUGAAAUGGAAAAGCUUGCGAAAUAGUUAAGAGCCUAAAGAUAAAACGAGGGAGAAUAUUUAAAACAUCAUUGAGAAAUUUAAAAGUUUCUGCGUAAAUAAGAGAUGAACUUGCACAUUUUAAAUGGUUGAUUUUUCAUGUUGAUGUGGACAUUCUCAAAACUUUAGCCCAUUCUCUUUUAUAUAUCGGGAUUAGAAAGCUAUUCCCACUCUUGACAAUGUUACCUCAUGCAACAUAUAAACAUUACAACCACCAAAUGUAUCCAAUUUUCAUACAAACAUAAUUUUAAUAAAAAUAUCAUUUUUUAUGUAAGAAACAUAUAUAAUGUAAAGUAUCCACUUUUAUCUAAAACACUGAUUAAUAAGCAAAUAUGUUAAAUUAGGAUUUAUCAUAGGCUUUUAACUUAAAACCAACUAGAUUUUGACCCGCACGCCCGUGCGGGUGUAUUUUUUAAAACAAUAUGAUGCUAUUUACUUUUUAUGUCACUGUUUAGGGUUAGGCAAAAAACUCAAACUCGAAUAAUCGAACCGAUCCCAAUCCGAAUAAGUAGUACUAAUUCCGAACCGGAAUUGAUUAAAUAUCUGAAUUAUUCAAAAUUUUGGUAUUUGAAGAAUUGAAACCUAAUCUGAUCCGAACCGAAGUAUUUUGGGUAUCCAAAAUAGAUUUAUAUACUUAUAUAUAUUAAUUAUUUUUAGAUUUAAUAUAUAUAAAGACAUCCAGAAUAUAUAUGAUAUUUUUAAGUUCGCAUAAAUGCUUGAAAAUAUAUACAAAUAAUCAAACGUAGAUAUCUUAAAUAGUAAAAAAAUACUCAAAACUCCAAAAAUACGUAAAUAAUUAUUAAUUCUCUAUCCAAAUAUUUAAACCAAACCUAUUUAAAUUGGUUAUCCAAUUCCGAACCAAAUCUUCAAAGAUCUGAACUGGACACGAAAUCCCAAAAAGACCUAAAAACGAACUCGAACGCCCACCCCUAAUCACUAUUAUAUAUAUAUCCUACAUGUGUCAUCAUAGGUUACAAAAUAUGUGUUAUCAUAUAAUUAAUCGUAUUUUAUACGUACCAUCAAAUAAGUUUUCUUAUAAUUAAUAAUAUUUUAUACGUACAAUCAUAUAAAUAAUCACAUAUAUUAUAUUUUAAAAUUUAAUGUGAAAUAUAAAAACCAUAAUUUAAGUUGGUGUUUGAAAUUGGGCUUUGUAUUAUAUCUUUAUUAUAUAUAUUGAAAAUAAUUUUAUAAUAGUUAUUGGAAAAUAUGUUAGUAAAAAUUAAAUUUUGAAUAUAUGUAUAUUUUUGAAUGAAUUUUUGAUAUAAAUCAAUUUUAAAUUAUUAUUUUGAUUUGAAUAUAUAUAUAUCAAGUAACAUAGACCCAUUACUUUUUAAUAUAAUGUAAUGGACUUUCAAAUUUUUAAUAGCAUAAGCCCAUUAUUUUUUUCCUAACUUAUUUCUAUCCAUGUUUCCAAACAAUACUAUUUUUUUAACUACUAUCCAUAUUACCAAACAAUCUCAAUGUGUACUUCAACUUUAAUAAUAUAGAUUGAUGAUAAGUGGACUAAUUUUAACCAUUUAUAUAUUAUUCAUGUCCCACUUAAACUUCCAAUAUGUGAGUUUAUAUUUUCACACGCCUCUUCAAGAUAGUGAUUCUUAUAACCAUUAACCUCGACAAUAUCUCAAUUUAGGAUUUGGUUCGGUCAGUUCGCCAGACCAUUCAGGCCAUGAGGUUUAGGAUCAAUUGAACCUCUUUCGAUGAGCCUAAUCAAUUUCGGUUCGGUUGGGCAGCUAGCAUGUGUUCGGACUAUAAUAUCAUGUUAAGUUUGGAUUUAUCAUGAGUUUUCAAAUUAAAAUAAAUUGGUAAUAUGUGGAUUGAUCCAAAUCUUUUAUAUAUUAUUCAUGUAUCAAUUGAAUUUUCGAUCUCGAUGUGAAACUUAUAUUUUCACAUCAAAACGUUAAUUUUUUAAAAAUAGGAAUGCAAGUCAAAGUAUAUUUGGAUAUGUCUGAAGUGUGAUUCAGUCAGUAUCGACUGUCCAUAACUCCGUGUUAUGUUUUUAGCUUCUAAACAUUAUAAUUUACUAAGUUACAAAAAAAACACUAUAAUUUACUAUCUAAUUUUUUUUUCACAAUUCUUUCAGUGUCGAGUGUCCAUAUCACUCGGACAGUACCAAGUAUCAACCUAGAUCAAACACAAACGGUUCAGAAUUUAAAAUGAAUAUGAAAAGACUUACUAUUAUAUAAAAACGAUAGCUUGUUGUCGAAAAAGUUAUUGUUUUGAAAGAUGUGUUGUACACUUAUACGAGGUCUGAUUGGUUCGACUAGAAAGAAAGUGUCAGGCGGCUAAAAUAAAUUCGAUCGUCAUCUAAGUUCAGUUUCCCAUUCAGUUUUUUUCUUUCUUAAGCACUGUAGGGGCCACUACAAAAUCAAUUGUAUAUAGGGCUUGUGUAUAUUAUGUAUGCUUUCAAAACUAUUGUAAAUCAACGACCAUUGAAAAAGGAAAGAAAGAAAGAAACGUGGUGAAUGAAUCCCACAGAAAUGAAAUAAAAACAUAUAGCAAAAUCUCAUAGUUUGGUGUCACGCGAAUAACGAUUAUAAAAAAUUAGUUUGUUUUACAUAGAAAAAAUAAGAAUUAGUUUACAAAAAAAAAAAAAAAAAAGAAUGAAAAACGAAUCAAAGCUGGAAUAACCGAUAGAGACGGAGACGCCAUGAUUUAUAAGUAGAAAUGACACGUUGGAGCUGACUCAAUCAAUCUCUCACAAGUCACAUCUCUAUCAAUAGAGAAACACGCCAUGAUUUAUAAGUAAAAACGUAUGUUCUUUUUUCUUUUCUUUUUGUUCUCUCCCGUUUUUUUUUUAAAUCUUUUUCAUCCUUUUCAAAAAUUAACGGUACCAAGAUUUGUAGUAGACCGUGUACCUUACCUGGUGAUUGCUUCAGUAAUAAUUGUCUGUGUGUGUAUUUGAUAUUUAUUUUCUGAAAAGGCCAUAAUCAAUUUAAACAUACAUGCUAUGAUGUGCAUUGUCAUCACAAAUUCAUGUUUUGUCUUUUACAUGCAAACAUAUGUGUAUGAUGAAAAUAAUCUAUCCACUAUUUGACAUUUUGGAAUUGGCGAUCCGAAAAAAAAAAGAAUAUAUAAGCUUAAACAUAAAUCAUUACAACAUUAUAGCCAUAGUUAGAUUCAACAAUAUAUAAAAGAGACGGCCUUAGAUAAACUGAAAAUGAGAGAAUACUAUAACUUUGGUUCAUCGAUACAUCCGAGGGUAGUAGUAAUACGACAACUAUCUCGUGAAUCAGUUUUGCAUUGGACACGUAUGUACGCAUGCUUCCAAUAUAGAACACAACUUCAUCCUUUUCUCGUGAACGUUAACUUUCUCUAAUGUUUUUUUUUUGUUUGCAUUUUCUUAGUAAAAACCAAACAAAGGAUUCGUCGUCUGGUAUAUAUUUAAAUUUGUUUCUUCAUUUUUGUCGUUGUCUUUCUUUCUAAAGUUUCGGUGCCAAUGGUGCUUGUAACUUGGCCUACUUUUAGUUGUCAGGUAGGUAUCAUAUCAACGUCAAUUAUCCACGCGGCACUCUUAUAACCUAGUUUAUUUACCACACUGACCAGCUUCAUGCAUCUCUCUCUUUCUUCACAUCAAACCUACUCGAACUACCUCUUCCUUCCGAUCUAUCAUUAUUAUGAGUUUGUAUCCUUGUCUCUUCUUUCUCUACCAUUACAAAGAGAACAUACAAAUCUGAAAGUUACCUUAGAUUCACGAUGUUUUGUUACGUUAAUUAAUGCUUUAAUUAUUGUGUUAAUUUGAUGUUAGGUGACAACAAGGUUAUUUAAAUAAUUUCAAGUUGGAAUCAGAAACAAGUGCAUCUUUCUUCGUUUACACAGGUACUCCUCUCUGGUUUUGUUUAAAUCUGUUCAUGUUUUCCGUCUUUCUUUAACAAUUUUGCCCUUAGUUAUCCAUCCUAGGUAGCCAAAACCUUUUGUUUGUAUUGGCUAUUUUAAAAUUUAAUAUCAUUUCAUUUCAUCAAAACCUCUGUUUUUAAUUACUAACUGAAUCAUACAUAUGCCUAUAUUAUCUGGAUGUAUGAUCAUCAUUCUCGCAUCCUCAUGGUUGUGAUUGAACCUUAUUAGUAGUCUUAGUGAGUCUUUUUACCUUUUUUGUGGCUUGCUAUGGCUCCAUUGCUCUGUCUUAUUGACUUAGCGACUUAGAUUCAAUAGGAUUAGAUUAGUCGAAGUCCAUUGUAUCUCUUUGCCUCAUUAUUAAGUUAAUGAAAUUCACAUACUUAACAAAAAAAUAUAUCUUAACACAAUGAUUAUUCUCACUUCUAAUUUUCUUUCAUUUCUUACAUUCCUUAUGGAUAUUAUACACACGUUGAGGAGACUAAUCUGAAGAUAAGCUUUCUUUUAAUGAUGUUAAGGAUGAAGGAGACAUCUAUUAUUCUUAGCAUCCUAAUUUAUAUAAUACUUAAUUUUGUGAGAUUCGUACGUACGGACGAACAUUUGCAAUUUAAUAGGAGAGUCAUUGUGCUGUCCCCAAAGACCAGUUCAAAAUGUUUCAAUUACUGGUAGUACAAAUGUGAAGGUUCUUCCUUCGGACCUGACGUCAAAGUGUUGAAACACAUUCUUAAAAUUAGUUAUAAACGAUUAGAAGUGUUUGAUGCAUAGCCAUCCUUACCUUAUCCAACACGUUAGGGCUUUUAAUUUAUUUAUUUAUUUAUAAUAAUUCUUUCGUUUAUAUCACUUUGUUUUGCCUCAUUACUCGUUAGAGUUGGUGUUUCUUAGUGUUUAGUAAGAAACAAUGUGGUAUAGGUAGAUUGAGAUAAAGAUGGUGAUGCGAACUGUGGAUCUACGGUCAGACACCGUGACUAGACCUACCGAUGCGAUGCGUGAAGCAAUGGGAAGCGCAGAAGUAGACGAUGACGUCCUCGGCUACGACCCAACGGCUCGACGUCUUGAAGAGGAGAUAGCCAAGAUGAUGGGGAAAGAAGCAGCUCUCUUCGUGCCAUCCGGUACAAUGGGGAAUCUCAUAUGCGUUAUGGUUCACUGCGACGUGAGAGGCAGCGAGGUGAUUCUUGGAGACAACUGUCACAUCCAUGUCUACGAGAACGGAGGGAUAUCAACAAUAGGAGGCGUGCAUCCCAAGACAAUCAAGAAUGAAGAAGACGGGACGAUGGACUUGGGGGCUAUAGAAGCAGCUAUUAGAGACCCUAAAGGAAGCACGUUUUAUCCAUCAACAAGGUUGAUUUGCUUGGAGAACACACACGCCAAGUAAGUUUUGCUCAUGUUAUUUAUACUUGAUAAAGCUUAGCUUGUCUCUUAUGAGGGUUUGAUGCAGCUCUGGUGGGAGAUGUUUGAGCGUGGAAUAUACAGAUAGAGUUGGAGAGAUUGCGAAGAGACAUGGUUUAAAGCUUCAUAUCGAUGGAGCUCGCCUUUUUAAUGCUUCCAUUGUAAUGCACUCAUCUCAUUUAUCUCAUCCUUUUUGUUACAUACAUGGUCGGUCUUGAGAUUCUGGAAGUUAAUAGACAGUUUAGUAACAUUUUAAUAAGAAAAUGGCUUUUUAAAAUAAAUUUGGGAAUCUAUAUUUAUGUAAGUUGUUUUAAAAUUUUUGGAGAGCGUAGAUCAAUGUUUCAAUUGUUUAUGCCGAGAACCGGCCAUGUUAACAAAUAUACACUAUAAUAAGUUUGAACUAGAAUUGUGACAUAUAACACCAUUAAUACGUACAAACCACUAGACUAAAAUGUUACGGAAUCUUUUUUUUGUAGGCACUUGGAGUUCCAGUCCAUAGGCUUGUACAGGCUGCUGACUCUGUUUCGGUACCAUUUUCUCUCUUUAACCUCUGAAAUGUUUAGCUAAAAAGAUAACUGAGACUCAUUUACACAUGUACACUCUUGCUUCAGGUGUGUCUCUCUAAAGGUCUUGGAGCUCCAAUAGGAUCUGUAGUCGUUGGUUCACAGAGUUUCAUAGAAAAGGCGAAAACGUUAAGAAAAACAUUAGGUGGAGGAAUGAGACAAAUAGGCGUCCUGUGCGCAGCCGCUUUGGUUGCACUUCAAGAGAACCUCCCAAAGUUACAAUUUGACCACAAGAAGACAAAAUUGUUAGCUGGUACGUACUCCUAAUCACUCUACUAGUAAUUAACCGCCAAAAAAUAGAAAAAUCAGUUACUUAAGUUUUUGCAGAAGGGUUGAAUCAAAUGAAAGGGAUUAGAGUGAACGUUGCAGCCGUGGAGACCAACAUGGUGCGUAUUGUCACAACUCUUGUACUUGUUUAUCAAGACUGCUAUGUUGUUUAAUUAGUAAUGUCUGAAAUUCAGAUUUUCAUGGAUAUGGAGGAUGGAUCAAAACUUACCGCUGAGAAACUGCGCAAGAGUUUAGCUGAGCAUGGCAUUCUUGUCAUCCCGGAAAACUCGUCUAGGUAUGUCUCACAUGAACAUAGCUUGAUUGUUGCGUUUACAUGUAGAGAAAAGUGUUAUUGAAAAUUUAUAAUAGUUUAGAAAUAUAAUACGUUUACAUGGAAUGUGGUUUGUAGGAUCAGAAUGGUUAUACACCACCAGAUAACAACAAGUGAUGUGCACUACACAUUGUCUUGCUUUAAAGUAAGAAUAUUAUCAUAUUUCUCUGAACUGAACACUUUCCAACAGUAAAACUGGUUUUUAUGAGAAUUUUUUUUUUUUUGGCAGCAAGCAGUGCAAAUGAUUCAGGAACCAAGCCGGAACUGAUCUGUCCAAACCGAAAAUGUUUUUUUUUUUUGAUAAAUGUUGUUUGUCCAAGUUCCUUUUUACUUAAAACUUCAAGGAUUGAUUGAUAUCUCAAUGAAAUUUGAAUUGAAUUUGUCACUCAUUUCUUCCAUUUUGAUUAGUAACCAAAAAAGGAAAAAUAGUGGGGAAUUAAAUGAAAUUAUAGAGAGUUAGAGGGUGUAUUCUGUAAAUAAAGGAUAAAUAGUAGUGAAUGUUGAAUGUUUCAUAAAUAAUGGGAAUAAAACAAAAAUUGUAAAGAGAUAGAGGGUGUACUCUUUAAAUUAAGGAUAAACCCUACUUAUCAUAUCAAACCCCCGGCAGAAGAAAAACACGCACAGCCUUUGUUCCCAAAUCGAAGAAGAAGAAGACCAAACUGUGAGUGACUUUCUUAAACUCUUCUCUCUCUUCAUUUCUCCAGAUUCGUUAUGUAAGAACAACUUCCUCUGAUGCUCUACCUGCUCAAACCUAUCUCUAGUUCUGUCUUCUUCUCAUGUUUUAUACCAAUUUUUUUAUGUUUCAUUUUUUUUUUAAAUUCCACAGGUUGGUUAGGAGAUAAAGCAUUGAACAUUCUAACAGAAAGUUCUCUCCCUUUGUCAAAAAAAAACAGGUUGAUGACGUCAUCAAAUUUGCUACUUGAAGCUCACUUCUUACACAUUCCAAAGCAGGCGAGUCUCAGCAAUGGAUUCCGUUUGGUUAAUUGGAAGAAAGAAACUGUUUCAAGAUGUGGUAGUAGUCUUUGCGUUGACCAUGUAGCUGAUCUUUCCGAGAGAACCUCAUCACUCCACAAUAACAACAAAGCGAAACCACCGAGGAUGGUUGUUUUCUCAUCAGAUGGACCAAUCACAGAGAACAAGCAAGACGCAAACAACAACAUCCUCCACAGCCUCUGCAGCCACGGGAAGCUAACAGACGCCUGCAAACUCGUCGAAGUCAUGGCUCGUCACAACCAACUCCCUCACUUCCCUUCUUGCACCAACCUAGUCCGCGGCUUAGCAAGAAUCGACCAAACGGACAAAGCCAUGUGCAUACUUAAAAUCAUGGUGAUGUCCGGUGGAGUUCCGGACACCAUCACCUACAACAUGGUCAUUGGUAACCUCUGCAAGAAAGGUGAUCUGAGAUCCGCUUUGUCCCUCUUAGAAGACAUGAGCCUGAGCGGGACAUCUCCCGACGUGAUCACUUACAAUACACUGAUUCGGUUCAUGUGUGAUAACGGGAACGCAGAGGACGCGGUUGAGUUUUGGAAAAAUCAGUUACGAAGCGGUUGUCCUCCUUACAUGAUCACCUUCACGGUGCUGGUGGAGCUCGUGUGUAGGUACUGCGGGAGCGGUAGAGCUAUAAAGGUGGUGGAGGACAUGGCGGUCGAAGGUUGUUAUCCUGAUAUUGUAACGUAUAACUCUCUUGUGAACUUUAACUGUAGGAGAGGGACGUUGGAGGAUGUUGCGUUGGUGAUUAAACAUAUUUUGUCUCACGGAGUUGAGCUCAACACCGUGACUUACAACACGCUUCUGCAUUCGCUGUGUUCGCACGGGUACUGGGACGAAGUUGAUGAGAUCUUGAGUAUAAUGUACGAGACUUCGUACUCUCCUACGGUUAUCACUUACAACAUUUUGAUAAACGGUUUGUGCAAGGCGGGGAUGUUGAGCCGCGCGAUUGAUUUCUUCUACCAGAUGCUGGAGCAGGGGUGUUCGCCUGACAUCGUCACUUACAACACGGUUCUUGGAGCAAUGUCUAAAGAAGGGAUGGUCAACGAGGCGAUGGUGCUGCUUGCUUUGCUGAGGAAGACUAGGUGUUGUUCUCCGGGGCUGAUCACUUACAACUCUGUGAUCGAUGGGUUGGCUAGGAAGGGUAUGAUGGAGAAAGCGUUGGCGCUGUACAAUCAGAUGGUGGAGGAUGGAGUGUGUCCUGAUGAUAUUACGCGCCGGUCUUUGAUUUAUGGUUUCUGCAGGGCGAAUUUGGUUGAGGAAGCGAGUCAGGUUUUGAAGGAGACGAGUAAUAGAGGGAAUGGGAUUAGAGGGAGUACUUAUAGGUUGGUGGUUCAGGGGCUGUGUAAGAAGGGAGAGAUGGAGAUGGCGGUGCAGGUUGUUGAGAUAAUGCUGACGAGUGGGUGUAAGCCGGAUGAGAGGAUAUAUACAGCGAUUGUUAAAGGUGUGGAGGAGAUGGGAAUGGGAAGUGAGGCUGGUGAGUUGCGGAAGAAGCUUAGGCAGUGGAAACUCUUGAGGGAAGUGUAGAGAAAAUGUGUUCAAGGUCUUUCUUUUGUUGGUUGUUUUUUUUUUGUACAGGAAACAAGUUUUGUUAAGUCUGAAAUGGUUUGAAUUAGAGAUUAGCUUAUGUCUUCUCUCCAAUAGUUUAGUAUGUUCCAGUGUCUUGUUAUGUUUCUGGUCACUCUUUUCCGUUUAUUUCUCUUAACUGUAUUAUCUUCAGCCUCAGAUUUCAAGUUUUAUGUCAGUUAUAUGGUUAUGUAAGUUGUAUAUUCGAAAUCUCGAACAGUGAUUUGCAAACUCAAAAUGGGAUAAGCACAACCUUGCAAUGUUAGUUACUCUUAGGCUUGUGCGCAUUUAUCCAGAAUGGAAUCCAAAAAUGGGAUUUGGUUUGGAUUUGGAUCCUACCGAUUAUCCAAACCGAUAUCGAAUGAGUAUUAACUAUAAUAUAGUUUGUAAGCUUAUAAAUAUUAACUAUAUUUAAUUUUAAAAAAUCAAAUAAUUUUAAAAUAUUAUUUAUAAAUUGAAAUACCAAAAAUGAAUAAAAAAUUUUAUCGAAAUAUUAACAAUUAUCCGACCUAUUCAAAAAAACAAAAGAUCCAAAACUCGAAAAAUCUGAUAUUUAAUCCAAAAAUCCCAAAUAUUCUAAAUCUUUAACCCAAAUAAACCAAAAAAUCAGAAUCUAACCGGACCGAUUGGGAUCCAAAAUUACCUCAGAUAUUAGUCGGAUUCCAAUUUCUUACCCAAACCUAAUCGAAAACCGAAAUAAUCAAACCAAAAUCGAACCAAAAACCGAAUGCCCGAGGCUAGUUACUCUUAAAACUUCUCAAAUCACUUUAGGUUUAUAAGACACAAGUUUCAGCAUGAGUUCAAGUAAACUCUAUCUUGGUUUCAGUUCCAACUUAAAAUAAGCAAAAAGCAAACUCAAACUCUUUUGCAAUGUUUCAAAAGUAAUCUAUUUUGGGCGCAGGUGUAGUAACAUCUUCCCACGUUAAUACGAGCCCACACUCCCCACAAACCGUGCUGCUACCGACUUUACUUCCUUGGCUUAUGAGUGUGCGCUGAUGCGCCGUUCUAGUGCAGUUGCGGAUCACAAAACGACUUCUGUUGAACCUCUUUGGGAGCCGUGGGGUCACUGUUUGUGGUGAAGGUAAAGGUUUUUGGAGCUCUGGAGCUACACGCUGAACUCCUUUCCACUCUAACGCUCUCCUGUAAACUUCCCAGGCCAUGUCUUUUUCUUCCAUUGUCGGGUUCUCUUCUUCAUUUUCUUUUAGAAAUGUCUCAUGCUCAUGCAAACUAGAGAUCCAGCUAAUAGUAAAAGAAAGAACAGACAGUGAGAGAGUCAUAAACCAAAGAAAAUAAGUACUCUUGCAAACUUACUUGGGGUUGUGUAACUGUAGUAAGUUCUCCAUCAACUUGUCUGAGCAGCAACCAACCUUCUGUUUCGUUGAAGUGUUUUGACUAUCUUCAGCAUAAGAUUCUGUGACAGGAACCAUCUCAUCUACAUCUGAAUUAGACAAGUUCAUGCUCUCCUCUUUGUCGUCUUCAUUGUUUUGAAACUGAGUGCUAGUCUCCAGACAUUUUACUUGAUCUUCAGCCGGGUUUGGGACAGUAUUAUUCUCAUACAAACACGCAGACUCAUCAUCACUAUUCUCUGCCGUGUGCCUGAUAACCUGAAAUAAAACCAAAUGAACACUAAGACGUGAGCCUAAAAAGGUAUAUUCCUCCGUAAAUUUAUAUCUUAUAUUACAUGAAAGUCACCAUAAUAUUAAUUAGACAAAAAGUUACAGCUAAAUGAGACUCAUUCGCGAGAACCAGGCUCACUAUUUAAGACUGAUAUUUCAUUAUCCCAUACAGAUAACGGGUGACACUAGCUAAAUUGUAACCCCAAGAAGUCUUCAAUAAAACAUAUGCUACACUAUACAACCAGAAGAAAAAAAUAUGCAAAACAGACCUGUUUAGAUCUUGUCUUGCGUCUCUUCUGAUUCAAACGAAGUUGAAGAUCAAUAUUUAUAUCAUCCUCCUCUCUGGCCUGUUGGUGAUUUAAUGUGGUAUUAAGAAUAAAUAUUUCAUGGUAAACUCUGUAGAAGCAGGAAUAUAAAGAAGCCGCCAGAAAAGGUAACACUUUCAAAACUAUAAUGCUUAUAUUUCACAGAAAACAAAAGAAGUAGAGUCAAAAGAUAAUUACUCUUGUAUAGUUUUUCUUUUGUUCUUCAGUUUGGGCAAGCACUCUUUCGUUUUCCAUUGCAUCGGCAAAAAAAGUACCUUCCAAGUCUGCAUCAAUCUCUUCAAUUUCCUCCACCUGAAAAAAAAAAUACUGUGAUAAUCAUUCUUGUAUGGCUAUGAUAUAGGAUUAGCAAGCCCGAUAUUUUAAAAUCUCCAACUUUGCUAAAGCUAGCUUGAGAAGGAACAUGAGAUCUUCAAAGAUAACUUGCCUCCCAAGGUUGUAAAUAAUGCCUUGUAUCAUAUGAAUGAACUUGGCUUAAUGCUUUUUCCUGAUUAUUAUUUCACAUCAACUUGACUUAUAUACUCUUUUUAUCUUAAUCUUAAUCUUAAUAAAAACCUACAUUUUAGUGUGAGUUAUGUUUCCUAUUCUGAUCAGGCUACAACAAUGGACCAAAAAUUUACUAAUUUGCAAGCAUAAACUAAAAAAGGAAAAAAAAAGGCAUGCAUGCAUAAAAUGUAUUAUUGGCAGGUAGGUGAUAAAAUUUAACCUCAUUGACUCCUGGAAACUCUAAUCCCAUGGCUGCAGCUUGUUGUGGAGUGCUUGCCGAGUAAACAGAAGCCCAAUUCUUACUACCAAAGGAGACCGCCUCAUCCUUUUUUUCCGUAAAAACUUUGUUGAGAGAUGACCAGUCAAGUUCAGAUGGUCCAGCUUGAGAUUCUUUAACACCAUCAUCAGCAAACUUUUUCUCCAGAAACCCACUAGCUCCCUCCUCCAAAAGUUCCCCAUGUCGUCUACACCAAAAUAUAUUUAGAUAUAUACCAUCCAGUUGCAUUACUAAAAGUUGAAGAUAAACAAAAACAAAACCUACUUUCGGACAGGACGGUGAGUCUGAAGAAAACUCUCUGCGUUUGCCAAUGAUUCCACGGUUUCUUCUGUUACCUGAGUCCCAACCCAGUGGGCUCUUUUUUUCCAAGCUUCUGUGUAGAGACGACUAGGGACUUGACUUUCAAUCAUUUUGUACAACUUUGGAAGUUCAACUCCAGCACCUGAUAGUUGUUCCUGUGAGAAAGAAAAAAGGAGAAAAUAAAUUUGUAAGUUCCUUUUUAAAAAAAAAAAAACAAUCUGUAAGUUCUUUUUGAAUGAUAAAUAAAACUUAGUGUUAAAUUUGGUGAAAAAAAUAGAGGAACCAUACCAACAAGUUUGCACUUUUAAUUUCAAGAUUAUCAAGAGUUUCCUCCCUUACGUCUUUAAAAGUCAUCAUUUCAGCUGAUACAGAUUUAUCCAGCUAAAAACAUGCACGUUCAAAGAUGUUAAUUAGAAGAGAACAAAGGAACUUGAAGAGCCUAUGAUGAUAAUAAAAAUAAAAAAAGAUAAGUUAACCUCAACACCACGGAGUGUGCGUGCUAGUUUCUCCCUAACUUCACCCUCUACUUUAGCAAGAGACUCCUCUUCAAUUGCUUUUUGAGCUUCUGCCGCCUGAAGACCAAUCAUUGAGAGUGAGUUUAAGAGCUGGAGACUAAAAUUGGCAUAUCAAGAUCUCCAGCAAAAGGAAGAGAUUAAUAUAUACCUUACUCUCUACUCCCACAAGCUCUGAAAUCAACUCGUCUAUCUCUUCCUCGCUCAGAGGUUUCUGCAUGAUAAUAGACUAAUAAUUGAGAGUUAUAUUAGAUCAUGCUGCCACUACAACGACAACAAAAAUGAGCAAGAGAUAUCAAUGUUGCUAACCUCAAGAUCCGACUCAUCAUCAUGUCCCAUCAGCAAUUGUUCUUCAUCAUCAGAAAGAGAAACACAACUUUCAGAUCUUGUAUCAACAGCUUGCAUCUCCUCAUCUUGAUUGUUGUUUUCUUCCAUCUGUUGGCCAUCUUGCAUCUCCAUUAUGCUUUCGUUUAUAUUCUCAUUCUCCUUUGCCUCCAUUGGAUCAUCGUUGUCAUCUCUUGCAUCCAUCUCUAGGAGUUUUCCCUUCACUUCCUACUGAAAAACCAUUGAUAACCAAAACAGUCAGUUACAAGUUUAAAUAAUUGGUCCACGGGUAGAAGCUAACAAGUACAUGUGUGCAUAAACCGUAUCAGGCAUUUAUUUGUAAAGAGGAUAUCAUUGAAUUCUAGUUGAAAAAUCAAACAUGCAACCCUAAAAGCUUAAUAUAAAUUCAUCUCAUUCUCCUAACACUCCAAGUUUGAAAAUUACAACGACGAACCGCAUGGAAAGGUAUUGAUUAAAUUUUGGGAUAAGGUCUGAUCAUUUUAUGACUUCUCAUCAACCACACAUAGAGAAUAUCAAACACUCCUUAAGAUCUAUGAACCACUCCAUGACAAAAAAAAAAAAAGAGGGCGAUAAGGUUAAGGCUAAGGAGAAGAAGAGAGGCUUUACCAAAAGUGAGAGAGUCCUGGUGCAACUCUAGUGCAGAGAAACAAGAGUGAUCACUGAGAAUUUAGUUUAGUCUAUUGAGAUGUGUGGAGAUUGUUUUUGUCUUAGAUGUUUAAAAGUUGAUUUUUAGGACAGGAAGAGGCGUGACUGGUUUGAUAAAAUAUCAAAUUACAGCUUCUUUCUUUUAUUUAUUUCCUUUUUUUUCAUUCAGCAAAGGUCAAAGAUACUAUAUGAGCAUAUUGGGUAUUCUUCCAUACCAAAUUGAACCAGAGAAUGUAGUCAACGUUGUUUAUGGUAGAAAUGAGAAAGUUAAGCUACUUUACCACACAUCUAGUGGUCUUCUGCCACGAAAUUAAUUUUACUAUAAUUUGAUUAAACAAAAACAAAUUGGCUAAUUUUAUCCAAAAAAUAUCUAACUAAAAAUCAGAGUCAUCUAAAUACUAUCUCCAGUUUAUUGACUGAAAUCUAUUCAAAAAAAAAAUUGGUAGUUUAGUUUGGAUCCAAUUUAUGUCAUAUUCAUUUUCUUAUAAAAUGCAUAGCUUUUUAUCAAUCUUUCGAAAUAUAGUCCAGUGCUUUUAAUUUCUUCUAGAAAAAUCAACCUUAUAUAACUUUUAAACUAAAGUGGUCUUUUUCUUUUAAAAUUUCGAAAGCUUUUGUUGACGUUUUUUAUCUCGUAAAAAUGUUUUUUAUUUACAACUUAAAAUGGAUUAACCUUUGAGCAAGGGGGUCCUCACUAGGCUAUCUAUGUCGACGGAUUGACACGUGGCAGUCGUAGGAUAACCCAAACAUGUGGGCUUGGUUCAACAAUAAAAGAUUUUUAGAGAAGGCCCAAAUAAAAGACAAGGCAAAAAAGCCCAAUACAAUAGUGGAUUUAGGGUUUUAUUAGGAAGAGAACUUGUAUUAGAGUUUUCAAGUGGGGGGAGGCGAGAAGGUUGUUAAGAUCAAUGGCGAAGUACAAUGAGAUAGCGAAGAAGAAGAGAGAGGCGAAAGCGGAUAGGAAGCGAGCUAUCCACGGCGAUCCACUCACCAAUAAAUUGAAGACCAGAGCUCCCGUUGUCGCCGUCUCCGGUAAACGUCAGAAGAAACUCCUUCGCAAAUGGCGCAGAGUAAGAAUCUACAAAGCCUUAAUUGCCACUAGUUAGUUUUUUUCAAAUUGAGUAGAAAGUGUUACUAAUAAUAAUUGUCGUUGGUUGGUAACAGGAGCAGAAAGAGAUGGUGGAGAAGGGUCUUGUUACUAUGGACGAUGUAGAGAUGGCUUCUGCUGAAGGUUUCAACUUGAAAUCUGAAACUUCUUGCUUGGUUGUCAAGGCUUUGUUUGCAUUUUCUUUGAUAUUGUAACUUCUUUUGUUUUUCAUUAUUGAUUAAAUGAAACUUGCUUUUCUUAUCUCUUGUCUCAGCUGGAUCAGAAGACUCCAAGAAACCCACAAGAAAAUUUAGCGUGAAGAAGACAAUAAAGCUCAAUAAACUAAAGAAUAAAGGUAAACAUUGAGUUUGCAGGCUCUCUUAUAUCUCAUUUGAUCUCAAUGCGUAUUGUUUACUUGAUGCAAUGUAUCUGAUCAUGGAAGUAACAAAUAUGUUACUUGUAAAGCAGGCAACAAGAAGAAAAGCCAGAGAGCUGGUGGCAAAGUAUCUACUGAUCAGAUGCUGGAAUGAUCAGACUUGGAGUGUUUUCUUGUUACCUUUUCGAAUCCUAUAGUUUUUCUACUGCUAAGUUUUUUUUUUCUAAUAUGUUGUCGUUUACAAAGAUCUCAUUUUGUAUUAUGGCUCGGAUGCUGAUUCAAGUGUGCAUCAUAUCAAAUUUGCAAUAUCACUAUUUCAGUCUGCCGAUUCAAUUACAUCUCCCUGUGGCAAAAUCUGUUCAACGUUUGCCUAUGACUACUUUCAUAAAUUAUACAGAAGAAUGCUAAACUAACGAAUGUAAAUUAAAAUCAUAUGAUUUGAAAACUUUAAAAGCUUCAUAAAUGACCUUUAAAACAUUAUAUAAAAUACCAAAUCCAUAGAGUGACAUUUGCAACAUAAUUUUCACUGGAUGUUUUUACUUACAUAGAAAUACCUUAAAGCAGUUAAAAAAAACAAGCCAAAGAAACAAAGCAUCCUAAUGAAGCAGAUUGAAGUAGAAAGCUUCAACUGUGUGCACACGACCUUCCACUCUCAAUCCCAUAAGAACUGAGCAAAACUCGAGAACCAUAGGAACUGGUCUUGCUCUAGGAAAACCACAUGAAACCGGUUUUGCUCAGGGGAACCCGAAAAAAAACUAAACCCCCACUAAACCGGCUGCUCCAAGAACUUACAACUUUAGGUACUGCAACAUAUAUAUCCAGUUGCUAGUACUACCAUCACCCAAACUGUACAGAGAAAUGUUUAUUCUUUCACAGAGAACCAUAUCUCAUCUCCCUGAGGAGACCAAUGUCUUUCCAUCAUUGGCCUUCAUCGAUGGAUGAGCAACAGGGAGACCAGGGUUUGAAACGGGGACGGGAGCUGCCUCUUCCUCAACUGGUACAUCCUUCGGUGUGUAACUAAAGUUGAGUUCUUUGUUGGCUGCAAGUGCCACAAGCUCCUUCUCUUCAAGCCCUUUGGUCGGUCCAAGGCUGCACCUAUCCGGAGUAUGCUUCGCCAAUGCAUCUCUGAACUUCUUUAUCUGAAGAAGACAUCAAAAAUCAAAAUCAAACUCGUAAGAUGAUUUUGAUUACAUGUGGAGAUGAUGAGACACGUUACCGUAGCAUUGGUGCAGCUGAAGCUGCAGACACGACCAUGAGCGCCACGGUAGAAUCUGAAAAACGGAAGGACGUGGACACCGAGACUGUAACACAUGGACUUGUGCUCCUCGUAGUUCACCUGAAGAAACUGCACAUCAGGGUUCUGCUCUGCCAACUGACAUAUCUACAACAAUCACAAACCAUAACGAUUAGAACAAAUUAAUAUCUUUUCUUGAAUCUAACAAGUAUUAUACCUUAGGAUGAAGAGCCUUGCAUCCACCACAGCCAGGAGAAAAGAAGUCAACCACAACGAGCUUAUCACCAGCGUUGGUUAGAGAGUCAACGAGCUCCUGAGCUGAAGAGAUCUCUCUCAUGUUCUCUUUCAAACCCUUCUCCCACCAUCUCUGAGGCGUCCCAAUCCUCAACGCUGUCUGCAUACAAUAUAAAGAUCACUUUUUUAACAGAUCCGAAAACCCUAAAAGGCUAAAAAGGUAUAAUCUUUAGUAUCGAUUUCAUCUAAAUUAGAUCUCUCGCAUGUGUAUACCUGAGCUGUGAUGGAUGAUGAUGAUCGGGAGCUCUGGAAUUGAUUAAAAGGCUUCACCUUCAGAGAAGGGAAGCUCUUUCUCAGACCGAAACUCACAGGUGAUGAGACAGAGUAAUCAUCUACAUGCUUGUGUUGAUUCACGCAAGCUCCUCGGAAGAUCAGAUUCGUUCUGCUGAUUGCUGCUUCCGCCAUUAGAAGGAAAAGUAAUCAAAUUUAGAACGAGAAGAGACUUAAGAAGAUAGAAGAAAAGCAACUCUUUCUCUCUCACGGAGACAACGUGUCUUCUCAGCAAUCUUUAGUCGCCACCCAAGUUUCGUUUUUUUUUUCUCUCUUGCACGAGAAAAUUUAUAAGGAAAAAUGAAAAAGGAAAGAGUUUUCUUCUGGAGGAGAAGAGAUAGCUGUUUGUUCUCUCGUUAGGAGAUCUGGACCGUUCGAUUUGGAUUUGAAAAGUUUUUUAGAUCUGACGGUUGGUUUUGUGAUAAUGAGUUGGAGUCGGUCAGAGAUAAAAAAAACUGAUUAUGGAUAAGGUUCACGAGUUUUCGCGGAUGUUUUUUUUUUUUUUUUUUUUUUUUUUUUUUUUUUUUGGUAAAAUGUUAAGCUUACCAUUUUCUGAAAAGAGUUACACUGUUGUUGUUGAACAACUUAUUACAACGGGAACAGAGGAAGAAAGAAACGAAACAGCUGAAAUUGAGAAACAGAGAACUUAAAGAACUUAAAACAGUAAAACAGUAGAGAAAACUAAGGCGGAAACAGUGACCGAGAGGUUACACUGUUGUUUUCGCGGAUGUUAUUAAGCAAAAUUAUCUAAUCUUGGAAUCGGAUUAUGUUUUCUUUUUUUUUAACCGUGUUUUAGUGUGAAAAUAUUUUUUUGAAAAUGAGCUGAUGAGUUAGUAUACACUUAUUCAUUUUCAUUACAAAAGAUUAGAUUCAGCAUUUGCAUAUCUUCAUUUGCUUUGCAUGGAUUAAAUUAACUCAUUGACUAAUUAAUCUGAUGGAAUUACAAAAAAAGAUGAAAUUAAAAUUUUAAAUUAAUCAAUUAAAUUAUGUGAUGUUCCAUCUCUAGAACGAAUGGUAGAGAAAUAAAAAAGGUUAUAGGCCUCGUGAAUAUUUGUGUUGUAUGUGAAAUGAGUAUAUUUUUUGAAGAAAAUGUGUGAAAUGAGUGUAUAAACGACAAUUAGCGUAAACGACAUUUAAUAGAAAAGUAAUGGUUCAUAUUUGGAUUUGGAAUUUAAGGAAGCAAGUUAGCCAACGCAUCAACCACGUGGGGUCUCACUGCCUCCACCACCUUUAAAUCUCUUUUUUCUUUAGUUCUAAUCUAAAUAUUGCAUGAAAGGAACUUGUAUAACCCUACACUCACGACGAUGGUCAGUACGUUACAAGAGAGAUAUUUAAUCGUAGCUAAAUAACAAAGUCCGAGUGUAGAGAAACAAAAACUUGACGUGGAUCAAAACAUAACAACAAUGACCGUGAUUAUUAGUGUUAAUGCACAGCAUAGAUUAAAAAGAUAUAGCUAGUUAUCACUGUAGUUGAAUAAUGAGUAAUAUGUUGCGAUUUUAGUAGUUUGGCAAAAUGAAAAGAUGUAAGAAGAAGUAAAUGUAUAAUAGUUGCACGAAAAAAAAAAAAAAAAACUAUGCCAUAUGUUGUCCAACACGAACAGCAAAAUACAAGAGCCACAAUUUUGUGAAAGGUGACAAAAUGCAGCUACCUAUUCUUUCUUUCAUUUUUAUUUUGUGUCCAACAUUUCUACCAUGUUUUUUCUAUUUCAAGUAAAAAUGUAUAUUUUUGUACUUCACAUGAAAAGUUGCAUCAAUAUCAUCAGGUCGGCCGAAGCGCUAAUAAUAUCAAUAUUACAAUUAAUCUCUGAAUUAUCAGUCGGCCAAAUUAAUAUCGUAGUUGGUUCUUGAUUUGCUUUGAACAAACGUCAAUUAAACUAAAAAAAACAAAGAAACUUAAAAGAACAAAACACCAUUUGAAACAAAUAUUUAUUUAAUGGUGUUAUAUACUGAUUAUGUGAAUGAAUAAUUUAUUUUUUAUACUCGUGUUUAUACUAUCUCAAUAUUUAGCCACUACCAUCAUCACUUGUGAUUCCAGAGACGGGGUGAAGAGAAACAAUGUGUAGCUACUGCCAUAAUCUAAAAUUCCCGAGGCAACACCUGAGAACAUAGAAAAAUGAAAACUACUAUACUUUUUAUCCUAUUAUGAAACAAUGAAAGUGACUAGACCAUUGCUCGUAUUACAUGAUGUCAUUAAUACUGAAAGAUGUGAAAGAAGAACUACCCGAGAGAUAGAAAGAGAUGAUUGUUACCAAAAUUGUGACAAAAAAAAAAAGAUUGUUACCAAACACUUUUAAAGUGCAAAUAAGUUGUUCGUUUUUAGUUCUUUGUCUUUAGGAAAAUGUGACUUCUAUAUUAAUGCAGAUAAGUUCUCACCGGCUUUGUAAAUCAAAGUUGCAUCUGGUCGCCACAAAAAUAGUAAAUGCUAAGAAAAUAAUUACUGCUUGUAUAACGAAGUAUACUCAACUAAGUAUUGCUGCAAAUGGUUGUUUCUCUUCUUGUUCUUGAGUUUCCUGAAAGCAGAGGACUCUGUCUGCCUCAUUCUUUCCCGGCUCACACCCAUCGUCUCACCAAUCUCUCGCAACGUCUUCAUCCUCCCAUCCUCCAUCCCAAAUCUCCAAAGUAUCACCUGCUUCUCCCUGGGCU